Molecule: long non-coding RNA, 78684 nt
Filed under: Gossypium barbadense (sea-island cotton)
Lineage: Eukaryota; Viridiplantae; Streptophyta; Magnoliopsida; Malvales; Malvaceae
Description: long non-coding RNA (GBAR_LNC005734)
Source: RNAcentral
GGUUCCAGCCUAGGGGUUCUGUCAAGCCUCCGUCCCCGGUCUUCUCACGCGCUCACGCGCCACCACACACAAUGGUCGGAGGGUUAAAAAACCUCAUUCUUUCAAGAAAAUCGUAGGUAACCUCUUCCUUUUUCAUAAUAUUAUCAGUUUUUGCAAUAGAUCGAUUUGUAUACUUGUUGAAUAAAUAACAGAAAAAAAAACUCGAAUCACCUUUUUAAAAGAAACUGCUUGAACUUCUCUUUUAUGAAUAUGUGUAAGUAUCUUUUUAUUCUGUAAAAAUCCGGUCCUUUGUACAGAUUUGUAAAGAGGCCUUUAUAGCCUUCUAUGAACUGUUUACAUUUAGAAAGAAAUCUUUGAUUUCUUUUCCCUAUCCGUUUUCCUUUUCUGUUGUAUUUUCUUUCUCUUUUUGCAGGCAAUCGAGGAAAGGAGGCCACCAGCGUUGAUUCGGCCGUCGAUCACGGCGUGAUACUAGGUCGGAGUCACGGCGUUGAUUCGGGUCACUGCGAGACGAACGGACACGAGUCGAAGGGGCGUGACUCUUGGACUGAUUGCGGCGCGAAGCCUCUGGAAACCCUAGGGUUUCCAGAUUUAGUUUAGGCACUGGGCCUCACUGGUUUGGGUCUGGCUCGGGUAUUCGGGCUUGGGUGUAACCGGGUUUUGGGUAGUAACGGGUCUGCUGGGUUUAAGCUAAAUGGGUCAAUAAAUUGUAAUGGACUGUAAAUGAAAUUUGAGCUUUGUACAUGGACUAUAAUAAAUAAACAUUUAUUUAUUUAUUAUUCUUGGUUUUAAAGCCCGGGCAAAAAUGGGCUACUACAAAGUCGAUCCUUGUUUUUUUUAAAAAUGGUUUCAACAAUCAAUGUUGGAGAAUGGAGAAGAAAAUUUUUGGUUUUUAGUUUACAGAUCUGUGACGUUCAAAAUUGUUUUAUGAAAAGAAAGGUUAAAAACUAUAGAAGUGAAGGUAAUGAAGGCUUUCGAUUGGUGCAGGCGGUGUGAACAGAAAAUGCUAUCAACAACGAUUUUAACAGUCUAAUGAUUUAAAAACUUUUGAAUAGUUCGGUGACCAUUUUAUAACUUUUUAAAAUUAAGUGACUAAAACAUAAAUUUAAUUUUUUAUUUUGAAAAUAAUAAAAGAUCGAUAACCUUCCAAAUAUAUACAUUUUAUUUUACAGUUUGUAAUGGCCUUAUUAUCAUCUUUCUCCUAUUUCUUUCUCUAUUAGCUUCAACAUUUCUGAAACCUGUUGAAAAAAUAAAGAUAAAAAGAUAAAACAAAAAAGUAAAAAAAAAAUGAAAAAUGAAAUUAAAUAAUAAUAAAAAUAACCUCAAAAUAGUGGUGCAAAAGUGGAGAAUGUUGAUGUAGUUUUGCAUAUAUCUUCUUAAGUAGUUCUGUAAGUUGCUCCACUUGAUCUCCAAGAAGGUCCACCUAUUUCUCAAACAUUAAAUAAAUAAAUAAAAAUACUUAUUAGAAAAGGUUUUAGGGUAUUAAUUUGUGUUUUCAAUCAAAGUAGAUUUCAUUGAUUUAACUUUCGGUCCGAUUUCUUAAUCAAUGAUUGAAAUUUGAAGCCAAUCAAGAUAGUUAUGAACAAAUUGUUCUAGGUAAAGGUAUCCAUAAACUGGACCAAAUUAAGUUCCGUCUUCGGUUUAGUAAUUUGUUCAAACCCUUUGCAAUAUAACACGGGCACUCGAAUUCUGAAAAAUAACUCGAUUCUUGAUCAGAUAAUAAGGAAGAAGAAGAAGACGUUAAAAAGCACCUCAGCUUCAGCCAUUUGUAGAUUCUCACAUCUCCUUAUGAAAGCUUUCCUGUAAAGUGAUUCCUUUUGGAUGAGUGAGGCAAUGAGCUUAGCUACUAAAUUUACCUCACCCUCCAUUUCUUCUAACCUGCAAAAUCCGAACACAUCUAUGUUAUUUGGAUUUGAGUGUGACAUUUAAAUAUAUGUAUGAGUUUAAUUCGUGUAUGUUUAAUUUUUUAUUUUUCUAAAAUUUUUAAGUAUGUAAAGAGUUCUUAAAAGUAUACUUUUAUCACUGAAAUAUUUAUAUCUAACACUCACUCCGACCUAAAUUCGGAUAACAUAGUAUACUUUAAUCUAUUUUUGACCUAAAUCCGUAUAUGGAAAACGUAAAAAAAAUUAUUAUAUUAAUCUCAUACUAAAAUUAUAUCAAUAAACAAAAUCUUGAAAGAUCAUGAUCUCAAACGCUUCAUUUUUCUUAAAGUAUUUAUACUCGUUUCUAAUCAGAUGUAUUUUCAUAUGAUAUGAUCCUCAAAGGACCUUCCAAAUACAUAAAAACAUAAAAAUUCAACAUAUCGUAAAAGAUAUAUAUCCGUAUCCGAUACUUAUCGGAUUCCAAACAACAUACUAUCUCAGUAUGCAGUGAUCAGUUAAUUAUACUCUAUACUCAAGUGAUAAUAAUCAAAGAUCAGGAAGAUUUUUGAUCUAAAAGAUAGGACACAUAGCAAAUAAUUGCAGUUCAUAGGCAAAUUUAAGUACCUCAAAGAAUACCUUCCUAAUUCCAUACAUGAUUCGAACUCGAAACUCUUCAACAUUUGCGCUAUAUCCUGGAAGAAGGUUUCAAGAUAUUCAUCAAUGGAGGGAUUCCUGCAAUUUCUAGUGGUAAUAAUUGGAUCUAAAUUAUUUAUUGUUAUGCCUAACUGGGACCCUAACUCAUUCAAUGAUGCCUUGCCAUAAUCCAAUUGUAGUAAAGCUUUCUCAAGCUUGAUAUCUGCUGAAUUAGUACUGUUUCCAUCAUAGGUUAAAAACCCGGGACAAUGCUCAUGUUGGUCGAAAUUGAAUCUGGACAUGACGUGUUGAAGGCGGAUCUUCUGUUGCUUUGUUUCGGAACAGGCGGUUAGGAUUAGAGAUUCUUCGUCUUCGAAAAACUUGACUAGUUUAUCUAAUGUAUGUCUCAAAUUGUCGGCAGAGAUCGAGUUGUUCGGACUUUGGUCUCGAUUCCUCCGGUCAUCGGUUUCCUUUACAAUGCAACCUUGUUUCACUGCCUCAACAAUGACCAAUUGAAAAACAUCUUCCCUUAUGAGACUCUCGAGGCUAAAUGCAUAUAUUUUCAUAUGCAAUUCCUUGAUUAUAUCUGCUAGGAAAACCUUCAGAACGUCGUCCUUGAUCGACAUUGCCACAGUUUUGAAGACGUUAUCGUUGGCUUUGAUCUCUCGUAGUUUGUUUAAUGAGGAAUUGGAAGUGUUUAUAAUGUCUCUAAAGAUCUCACCAAAGACAAGCAAGCAAAUUUCCUCACUUAAACAACUUACAGACUCGAAAGUUUCUAUAUAUUCAUUCCAUUCCCGGAGUAUUUCCCGCAGGAGGAACGUGUAAAUGUCGUGCCAAAGUUCUCUAAAGAAGUAAUCAGGGUGAAUUAAUUCCUCUAGGUUCGUGUUUUCAGAAUAGAGUAACGGCACCGUACCCUCCGAAUGAUCUAAUCCGCUAUUUGCUUGGUGACUUUCAGGCGCCGUUGCCUUGGGGAACAAGGUAUCGUAUUUCGCACUUCCCAUUUCCUUGUUCCACUCGGUUUUCAUUUCCUGGAUAAAGUUUUCGUACAUACCUUCUUUAAUUAGGAAAUGCAUGUGAUGAUUAAGCAUCUCAGCAUGAAAUUCAUCCACCAAACUUUUGAAAAGAGUUAAUUGAAUGUCUUCCAUUAGCCGGGUUUGAAGAUUUGAAUCCUCCAUUUCUUGUUUCACAAGCUUUAUUUCGCUACAUGGAGCUUCAUUUCUUGUUUCAGGAACUGAGCUUUUGUUCACUUGUUCCCAUAUUUCUUCCAUACUGUGAGCACCGCAUUUCUUGAUAUCGGUUCUGUCAUCUGUAAACGGCCUUGUCUUGAGAGGCUUUUGCAGUUCACAAUCAUACUUAUUAUCAAAAAAAACAUCAUCUAUUUCAGGACUCGAGUUGAUUAAACUCUCCAAUCUCACCAUAAGUUCUUGAAUUCGUUGUUUCGGAUUGACGGAAUCCUUUUCUUUCCAUGUUGGUGGACUUGAUUUUUCUCCAAGAAGUUCCCGUGUCAACAAAUCGAGCUCCUCACUCUUUCCCCGGAUUAUAGACUCAUGAUUCUUUAUCAUCUUUACAACAUGGCUUCCAUGAUCAUUUCCGGAAUCCUCUUCUCCGUGUUGCUUGAUUAUACCCAAUUUCCCGAGAUCUUGACCCUCCGAAAAACGUCUAGCUUUCAGAAUUUCCUUCGGUUUCUUGACUUGAGCCUCAUCCGGAUUACUAACAAAGAGAAGCUCGUGGAUAAGGACAUUAAUCUCUCGAAUCACCUUGGAUAAAUGUUUCCGCAAGCCUAACGAGGCCUGCAACUCUUGUUUCUUCACUUCGUCUUCAAAAUUCUCUCGGAAACCUUUCAACAGAUCUUUAAUCACAACUGCAGAUAUAGAUCUCUCAAUGUUCCACAUCCAUUGAUGCUCGAUCGGCCCGAGUUCGGAUAAAAAAAUUGCAUUCUGCAUCUUACAAAAGGCAAGAUCUAAAGUCCCCUUCAAAAUCCCGAUAUCUGACCCCAUCUGCUCGAUUUUCUUAUUGUCGAUCCCUUGAUUUCUUUCUUCAUCUUGAAUCUGAUAAUUCGGCUCGAGCUGUUGUUGAAUGUUCCACACCUGCUGAUCAACCGAAUGCUUCAACUCACAAAAUUCGCCUUCUCGAUCCCCGGCUUCGAUGCUUGCUUGACUCCCAAGAAACAACUCAUCAAUGCCCUCAUUUUUCCUAUGUUCUUCAAGAUCAGCAUACAAUGAAUCCCUUUUCUUUUCACUCCUCUCCAAUGCCUUUUUAAGCUUCAAUUCAUUCCCUAAUCUCUCCGAUAACUCUUUAUCCUUAUCAGAAAUCGCGGAUUCGACUUCCUUAAGUCGACCUUGAAGCCGAUCCUUGAUCUCUGUCAAGUCGUCAAGCAAUAAUUCCUGGCUAGUUUCUAGAUCGUAAUUACCUCUUUCUUGUUGAACGAAUUUCAAACAACCUUCUAAUUGAAUCACCGCGAGUUGGUAGAAUUUCGAUAUUUCAUUCAAACGUUCGAUUACACCGGUUUUUGAUUUAACUUUCCGGUAUGCUUUGUCCAUUGAUUUGUGAAGAAUCUGCAUCAUUGUUGACUCGGUUAUGGAAACUUUGAUAUUACUAUUUGCACUAUCCACUUCGAUCAGAUUCAAAAUUUGCUCCAUUUGAGCAUAAAAAAUUUUCCUGGAAAAUUCAAGUAUUCGUUUAUUCUCGGGAAAAUCUAACAGAACUCAGUAGAAUAAGAAGUUGAUUAUGGGAUUUGUUAGAUACAUGCAAAAGAUUGUUUUGAAAGGAAUUAUAUUUCUUUUUUAUGACUUCAAUUAUUAAAAAAAAUAUAUAAAGUUAGUGAAUCGGAUUUUUAUAUUUACCCUAUUUAAAUGUUAGUUCUAAAUUUUAGUUAUUCACAUAAUCCUUUUCCAUAGGAAGGGGAUUAUAUAAGAUUUGAUUCAACAAUUCUAUCAUCUAAUAUAAUAAUAAAAAUCACUUAAAAUUAAACCUCAUGUGAUGACUCGAUGGUCCAGAGUGUUUACCGCCCCAGGUGUAGCUUGGUGCUCACUCCUGUUAAAAUCAUAAAAGCAGUUAAAAAAAUCGGUAUAAUAACAAAUUUAGCUAUCAACUUUUACAUAUUAUAUCAAUUUAGUCAUAAUUUUAAAAUUUUAACACUCAAAAUUUACAAAUCGUGUCAAUUUAACCAUUAUUCUAAAAAAUUUAAAGAAAUAUAUAAAAAUACAUAAAUAUUUAAAAAUACAUAUAAUAAUAAAAUUUAAAAUGUCAAUAUUAAAAAAAUUAGAAUUCUCAACAAUGGAAUAAACAAGUACAAAUUGAAAAUUUUUGUGUAUUAUUUUAGUUUCUACCACUUUGUCACUUUAAUACUUGAUUUUUUUUUACUCCAAUCAAUACUUAAAAAAGAUAUUUUUUGGAUGAUCAAAAUGAAAGUGACAUAAAAGUUGGGCGACCAAAAUGAAAGUAUAAACAUGAUAUGGCGUGUAUAGUUAACAGUUAUUAGAGAUUUAAUGCUUGGGUGAAUAAAAUGAAAUCGCCCUAAAAGUUGGGUGAUCAAAUUGCAAGGAUUUCAUUUUAAGUGACCAAAAUGAAAGCUCUCUAAAAGUUGGAAGACUAAAUAGGCGUUUUACCCUUUAAAAAAGAGAUAAAUUAGUAAAAAGAUCAUACGACACCGUUUAUGCUUUCCAGGGUAAUAUCGGUUUUAACCGGAUUCCCAAAUAAAAUCCCUCCCGCGUUUCGAUUGUCUCACUUGUUCCAACGUGAGCGAAUUCGCGAAUUAGGGUUUUUCUCUGAAAUAUUAAAAGAAAAAAAAAUCGAAGAUGAUCGAGGUGGUAUUGAACGACCGGCUAGGGAAGAAGGUGCGCGUGAAGUGCAACGACGACGACACGAUCGGAGACCUUAAGAAGCUGGUCGCGGCCCAAACUGGAACUCGGGCCGACAAGAUCCGUAUCCAGAAGUGGUAUACGGUUUACAAGGAUCAUAUUACCCUCAAAGAUUACGAGAUCCACGACGGUAUGGGCCUCGAGCUUUACUACAAUUAAAAUUUAAUUUAUGUAAGCUGCGUGGUCUUUGUUUGAACAAGCUUUAAAUUUUAUGUAUGAAUGUAAUAUAAUCGUGGAUAAUGGUUAAAAAAGAAUAUUAAUGGAGGAAAAUAAGUCUUGGAUUCGCUUGGCUCUUUUUAAUAGUGUUAAAUCCAUGAAUUCUUAUGUUUUAAUAUAUAUCUAUGUGUAUAUAAUACACACCCCUUUGGUUAUGGAUUAUGGAAAAUUGGGCACAAUGUUUUUGAGGGGGGAAAUUGAAAUCGGUAUUGUUGGCUAAGGUGGAAGCCUUGGGUAUUUGAGUAAUUGGGUUUGGAUUUCAUCAUCCAUUAUGUUUUGUAUUAGUUUGAAUUUACCUUGUAUAUUUGUGUUUCUACUUGUGAGUGUUACUGUAUUUGUUGUAGUAAAACUUUCAUAAAGAAAAUCUGAAAUUCAAAAAGAAAUUUGCAUCAAUUCCAUUCAUAUGAAAGAGUAUCUUAGAAUAUGAUAUGUAGAACGGAAUUUUAUUCUUUAAUGUUUAGAAUUUGGUGCUUGUUCAUGUAUUCUCAGUUAUUUCAUCACUGGGAAAAAAUUCAAGAAGAAAUUGUAUGGAAUGGUUACUUUUAACAUAUAUUACUUUUAUUCAAUUAUAUUAUAUAUAACAUAAUUGUUAAUGAAGUGUUGGCAUUGUUGACAAAAGCAAAAGCUUUGAGUCCAUAUGAAAAUUAUGUUCAGGAAUUAGUUGAGUUAGUUUGAAUCAAGUUAUUUAGUUUAGUGAUUAUAAUUAUUGAUUCUAAUUAAAGCUGUGGAUAUAGUUACUGAGUUGUAACUUCAAAAAUAUAAAAAGUUAUGAUAUUGGAACAUGUUUUUUCAUUCUGUGUUAUUUUUUAUUUUUCUUUCAUGUUAUGUCAAAAAUUAUUGUACUUAGAGCCAAUUGAGUUUAGUUCAAUCGGUAUGGCCAUUGUUGUCUAUGUAGGAGGACAUGGGGUUUGAGUAUCAAUCGGGUAAUUUUAAGCAUUGUGUCAAAAAAAAAGCAGAUAUGAUCAGAAUAUCUAAUGAGAUUGUUCAAAAAAAAUUUAUCAUGCGUAUAUUUUUUAGCUUGUUUCACAUAAACUUGGACUUUCAAGGUUUGAAGACCAAACGUUAUUAUUCUAUCUAUUAUUUUCAACAGGAUACAAUUAGUAUUAAAAAAGAAUAGGAAAACUAAAACUCUAUUGAAAAAUUUGAGAGUACGUGCAAACAAAUUGUUUAUUGCUAAGGUGUUCUUAUGUGAUUCAAAUUCAUAUACAGACAAUGUCUCUUUGUUGAAGUGUUUCCCAUAAUGCAUCUGAUUAGAUACUUUUUUUUCUUGGUCAAAUCGAUACAGUUGUUUUUGACACAAUACAAUUACUUGUUAUACAAGUCAAAUUUAUGUAAAUAUUUGUUUUAAAAUAAGAUUUAAUAUGUAAAAUUUUAUGAAUAGAAUUUUCAAAUCUAAUUGACUUUAUCGUAAUUUAAUUGACAUUAUUAUUAUUGCAACAAUUAGGAAGGCAUUAAAUUAAGUGUGUUUGAGUAUAUAAAAUCGGUUUGAUGGUUGAAUUGGUACAUUAUUAUUUACCUGAAUCAAAUAAUAAGGCUUUUCCAAAAUUCUUGAAGUGUAAAUGAACCAUUAAAUUUUUAGGCAUUUAAAAUUACAUUAUGGAGCGCCAGAUGGUGAAAAUAAUAUCUGCAAAUUUAGAUUUUCUUUCAAAGUGAUAAGACAUGUUUUCUUUUUAAUUUCUACAAUUAAUUUUAAUAUUUAUAUAGUUCAUUUUUUUAUUUAUUAUUAUUCACAAUAAACUAAUUUUUUAUUAGACCAAUAAUUUAUUUUUCUAAAACCUAUUCAAGGAUGGAAUUAGUCAACAAGCGUGAUAAAUCCAGUCCAUGUACGUCGUAGAAUAUUCACUUUCGGCCUACCCUACCAAAAUGGGCUAAUUGGGUUUCAAAAUUUUUUGGGCUUCGAUAAAAUAUCUAAGCAAGGGUUAAACUCCUUGCUCAGCUGAUUUGGCCUUUGAAUUAUUAUUUAAAAUUUAUUUUUAGAAAGUACAAAUAUUAUUUUUUUUGAAAAACAAACAAAAGGAUUAGAAUUAACUUUUUUUUUAAUAAUUUCAUUAUAGGUUUUGGUUAUAUUUGCUAUUUUUGGACACAAUGCAUUAAACUACUCAUAGUCCCUACCCAACCCUUGAAUAAGAAAAUAAUAUGCUUCAGUGUAUUCGAACUCACAUCAUCUUGUAUUGACAACAAUGUUCAUGCUAAUCGAGUUAAGAUUUAAUUGACUUAGAACCAACUAAAUUAAAUAAAAGGAAUCUCUCCAAACAAUUGCAAUCCUUCUUCCCUGUCAAAAGCUAUUUUGGCUAUUUGGUCAACUUCUCUAUUUUUUUGUCUAGGGACAUGUUCUAGCAUCCAAUUCCUCACAUUCUUAUGAUUUGAUGUAUUCGACUGAUUAACACUGAGCUUGAAGUCUUCAAAAUAGAUUCUUGAAUAGCCACAAUAACUUCCAUGUUUUUCGUCUGCACCAACACUCUAUCUCAAUGUCUGUUGUGCAACAGUGUCAAGCCAUCUAAAAUAUCUCAUAAUUCAACAUCGAAAAUUAAAUAUUUUCCCGAACGUCAGUUAAAACCAAGAAUUCACUCUCCAUGCUAACCCUUCAAAAUUCUUCCUGCAGUAGCAUGCCCUAAAUCCACCUUAACAGCAUUAUCAAAUCUUAUUCGUAUUGAACUACCUCUCCAAAUGGACUCCCCCCUCACAACUUGCCUCGCAACUUGUGAAUAGAAAAAUACUAUUUUGUCCAGCUAUAUGAACCUUUGAUAAUUUAUUCUACACUCCACAGUACUUUCUAAAAAAUGUAGGUAUUCUUAUUCUUUCAUAUGUACCAUGGAAUUAAACAAAAAAACACAAUCAAUUGACUCCUCUCUAAUAAAUCUUUUAAACGAUUCUCCACGGAAAAGAAGCAUCCAUGCUCCUCAACCGGAAUUAUACGAGACUUAACAAAAAAAACAAAGUAAAAGAAAGACAAACUCUUUCUUUAAUAAUAAAUAAUAAAUUUGUUCUUGUUUUAAAAAGGACAAAUUAAUAAAAUCGGUGAUACGGCAUCGUUUAAAGAAACAAAAAGGCAAAAGUAGUCAACGGGUAAUCUUUGGCUUUAAAAUGCCCCCCACGCUUCAAUUUUCUCUUAUUUCCAGGGUUAACAAAUUUGGGGAUUAGGGUUUUCUCUGAAAUAGUCUUUUGAAAAAAAAUCGAAGAUGAUCGAGGUGGUGUUGAACGAUCGGCUAGGGAAGAAAGUGCGCGUGAAGUGCAACGACGACGACACGAUCGGAGACCUUAAGAAGCUGGUCGCGGCCCAAACUGGAACUCGAGCAGACAAGAUCCGUAUCCAGAAGUGGUACACGGUUUACAAGGAUCAUAUUACCCUCAAAGAUUACGAAAUCCACGACGGUAUGGGUCUCGAACUUUACUACAAUUAAAAAAAAAUUAUUUAUGUAAUCCGUGUGGUCUUUGUUUGAACAAGCUCUAAAUUUUAUAUAUGAAUGUAAUAUAAUCGUGGAUGAUGGUAUUUACUUUUCUAAGGAUUAUCAAUAGAAGAAAAUAAGUUCAUAGAUUUGGAUGUUCAAAAUAGUGUUAAAUUCACUUAUGUUGUACCUUAUAUUUUCACCUUUGGUUAUGGAUUAUGGAAAAAUGGGCAUAAUUAGGGAUUAGAGGAGCAAACCGUUAAUUCGAUCGGUUCUUCUUAACUUAAUCAAUUUAACCGAUCAUCACGUGGAAUAAUCAAACCGGUGAACUGAUUUAUUUAAAAUAAUGAAAAAUAUAUUCAACUGCCUUAUAUAUUAUAAAAUAUGAAUAUAUUUAAAAUAAUUAAAAAAUAUGAAAUUGAUGACUACUGAAUUGCUGAAAGAGGAUCUUAGAAUAUGAUAUUUAAAAUGGAAUUUGAUUCUGAGAAUAUGAUCAUUAGAAUAGGAUUUGAUUCUUUAAUGUUUGGAAUUUAAUUCUCAAAUAUGAUAAUUAGAAUAGAAUUUGAUUCUUUGAUAAUUGGAAUUUGAUUCUCAUUUAGAAUGGAACAUGUGUUCUUGGUUUUUUCAUCAACAGAGAAAAUUUUGUACGGAAUAGUUAUUUUUUUGAAUAUAUUAUUUUCAUUCAAAGAUUCGAUUCUGGAGAAAAAUUCAAUUAUUGGGACAUAUUUGUGUUAUUUUUUCAUGUUAUGUUCAAAAUUAUCCUACCUUAAUGGAUAUAUCAGACAUUGGAUUUUAAAUAUAUUAUUAUUAUUAUUAUUAUUAUUAUUAUUAUUAUCAACCCGAUACAGUUACACGAUAUUAAUAUAAUACUAAAUAAUUAAAAUGUGAUAAUACAAACAAUUUGUUUGUUACUAAGGUGUUUUUAUAUGAUUUUAGUAUAAAUUUAUACACUACCAUAUUAAAUGCAAUAUGGAGUGAAAAAUUUUUGAGAUAACCGAGUUCACAAGUUUUAUUUUAUUAUCUUAAUUUGAUUUGAAAUGUCAAAUUAAAAUAUUAUUACAGUAUAAUUAAUUUCAUAUUAGAGCUUUUAAUAUGAUAAACUUGAAUCAGUUAUUUAUUUAGGUUUUCAAAAUUAUUAUUUUAGAAAAAAUUAUAUAUAUAUUUUAAAUUUUUUAAAAAUAUAUAAAAUUUGAAAUUUUUAUAAAUAUUUUAAAUUUUUUUGUAAUUUUUGUUGAGCGAGAUUAAUUUGUUUAUUUUCAAAAUUGACUGAAACCAAAAGGGUAUUUGCACUAGUUUGUUAUUCAAAUUAUUCGAAUUGUAAAAUUCACCUCAACUUGAACUCGAAUCAAGUUAUUCAAGUUGACUUGAAUAAAUCGAAUAACACUAUUCGAUUAACUCAAAAUUUGAAUUUUCUUUCUAUUUUUUUAAAUUGAAUCGAGUUUUGCUCACUCUAAUUUCUAUUUUUUUCGAAUUACAUUAUAUGAAUAUGGUAUAAAUGAACUAUUAUUAAACUUUCACUUUUUUUAAAAAGAGAUAGAACAUUAUGGAACACCAAAUGGUAAAAAUAAUCUUUGUAAAAUUUAGAUAUUUUUUUCAAAUCGUUUAGUUUUUUUAUACAUUUUAUGUGCGUCAUUCUAUUGACGAAGGUCGUUUGUAAAUACAUUGGACAUGUAUAGGUUGUGGUAGCUACGGAAUAUCCGUUGGUAAGGGCCACUGUCACUUCAGUUUUGUAAGAUAGCCAUCCGUUUCUUAUCCGUGUGGUAGCCAAAAGGGUAUAAUUAUCAAAGAAAUUAUUGUCAAUAAAAAUACUUUUUACUGACAGAAUAUUAGUCGAGUUUAGACUUUACAAGCCAAGUUAGAAGAUUGACGAGUAUCCUAUAAAAAAAUAAUAAAACAUGUCAAUUUUUAAAAAUUACUUGUAGAAUAAAAUAUACCAAAUACUCACCAAUUUUCUUUACAUAAUAAAGGAUGAGAAUUGCAUUGUAGCUUAAUACAUGAAACCCUACCAAACAAUAAAAAAAUGGACACAUAUUUUUAAUUUCAUUUUGAUUGGAUGGUAAGGAAAGAAAAUUAACAACAAAAAAGGGGACCUCUACAUGAUUUGGUAUUCGAUUCAACCUCUCAAUAGUUCAUGGUAAUGGUAUGUGAGCUUUCAAUAGAUUGGGAUGACUAAGCCAGUGUGAUUCGAGGAUUUUCUGGUUUCUUUUCUUGCUCAUGGCAUUGCUAUGUGAGCUUUCGAUUGAUCGAGAUGAUUAAGACGGCAUGUUCCGAGGAGGGUUUCCGGUAACUCCUCUUGUGUAUUACCCUGAAGUAGUAGUUUGGAUCAUAACCAAAGUCAUUAAGCAAAUAUAUUGUACUCGGACUUGAGUACAAGUGUUAGAUACGAGUAUGUGUUUAACUCAAGUAUGUUCAACUUUUUUCUAACUUCAUUAAAAAUGAAGAAUCGGAGCAAACAUAGAAGCAACUUACUUAAAAUAAUAACAUGAUGCAAGUUAAUUUUCUCGUUUCUCUUUCGUUACUUGCAACUCAAGGAAAGUUAACAUUUUUGACACUUUAAGAGAAGUCUUACCUGUAUUAUAAAUGCCAUUUCUACGACCAAAUUGUUGAGAUAUCCGAGGACAAGAUUGGCUACACCCUGAGCCACCGUCGAAGACCCAACAUCUAUGUCAGCCUGAAAUUUAAACUCGUUUCGGUGAUCAGCAUAUAGUAACACGAUAAUGAAUCGAAAAAUCACUAAAAUGAAAAUAUCAGAAAGUCAAAGAAUAACACAAUCAUCAUUCGCAAUUGUACUUGGUUUUGAGGAUUCGAGAAUCUACCUCCAAGUAAUUUUUCCCACGGAAAUAAUGAGUAUUGAGAGCUUGACCGAGUAAGCAAGCUUUCUUUCCAACACUUUGUUUGACUAUCCAUGAUCCCUGAAGAAAUGGAUUAUUUGGUAAAACAUAGUGUAAAUGAGCUUGAGCUCAACAUAAAGUUUGAGAAGUGUUCUAAUGCUCGAGUCGAGUAAUUCUCAAGCCUAAUCAAGUUAAUAUUGAAAACUUUCAAUUCAAGCUUCAACUUGAGAACACUUAAUCGAGCUCAAAGUCAAGGAUGAGAAUCAAACUCAUCUUUACUAAACAAAUGAGCCUAAUUGAGCAAGCUCAAGUAAUUCAAUCUGUUUCUUGCCUGAGUUUAAGUCGGGAAAGGAGCCUCGAUUUUGAGUAAAGCUUGCGCUUCUUAUAGUUUGAUUUGGGCUCAGCUCGAUUAUACUUCAAAAAAGAAAAAUGCCUGCUAUAGAUUUGCAUACCUUAGAAAUGUAUGGUAUGAGCUUAAAUCUUGAGUUUCUAUAGGCUUCAUCUCCAUUGACGAACUUGUACAGCAAUGGGUGAUCUUCAAUGGGAGUUUUUAUCAUGUAGUACAGUGCUAAUGUAUAUGUCGGUGAACCAGGAAUCUGACUCAUAAUAAUUGAGAGUAUCUAAUGUGAUUAUUGACAAAAAAAAAACCAUAGAAAUAAUAAAGAAAUGUAUAAAACGUAACACACCUGCAUAUUGAUGAUAAAGAAAAAUUCUGGUCCACCGCGUUCAGCGUAUUUCUGCAUGAAUGUAUAUCAAUGAAGUUUAUUUUUCGAUCAAUGAUUUGUAUCUAAUGCAUAGUUUUUCUUUGUUUUGCAUAGAUGAGUAGUAACAUGGAUCAGAUUUUAUAAAUCGGAACGUAAAGCACAAAAUUAUAGUCCAAACCUGAACAAUACCACCAACUCGACUGCCUAAAUCAUCUUCUCGUUUGUCAGAUAUUAGCCAGUCUGCCCCAACCAUUUGCAUCGACGUUCCAUUUGCUUUAAUCUACCACAAAGAAUACAAAUUUAGAACAUAGAUUGAAGCUAAUUUACAUUUCAUGGAUUUGAAAAGCAAGUAACCAUAACUUUCGAAGCCAUUGAAUGUAUUAUGAAUAGCUUUAAAUUCUAACUUUACAAGCUGAGUAAUGCAGGCUGAACGGUUGAGCUAUAUAUUCGUCCGACACAGGUAUGUUGAAUGUUUUCCAAGUUUUAUUUAAUGCAUUUGGAAACUUCAAGAAAAAUGAAGAGUCGGUAACAUGUAUGCAUAUAUGUAUAAAUGCAUGCAUGCUGGCAUAUCAUAUGCAUGUAAAAAUGUAUGCUGUCGAGCAUGGAAAUUUUAAAUAACCUAUAUACAUUUUGAAAAUGAAAUUGAAGUGAAUGGAUACCUUUCUGUUGUCUUUCAGGUAAGUUUUACUGCGUAUCAAAAAUGAAGAAGGGUCUCCGGCUGACCAACUGCAUGGUGAAGUGAAGGUUGGGUCCUUUUGGAGAGAGGUUCCGUAGGAGAAGACUACGCUGUCUUCCCGAGCCACCUCUUGUAAUUCUGUGUAACCUUUCUUUUGAGCUGCAGCAUGAAUAAUAGAUUAGAAACAGCUAAGAUGCAUUCGAUCCAUCAAUUAUCUCAAUAACUUUGGUUAGCAUAAUCGAACUCACUUGCAAGACCAUGCAAUUUUCUCACUAGACCAGCUGCUGAUGUUAUUUUUGGCUGUGUAUUUUCUGCAUGUUAGAUUAUGAGAAAAAGCUAAAAACACAGUUAAUAAAUUGUAUGAACUCAAUACAAAUCCAAAGAUCGGAAAUGUCUCUUCGAUAUAAAAUUCCUUCGCCACAUGAUUCAUAACAAUUACUUGAAAAACAAAGAUAAAUCGGGGAACAAAGUACCGGAGAACUUGAUUCAGGAGACCAGUCACUCUCCAAGCGAUCAUAAUCCAAGAAUUCAUCUGCUUCAGGAACAUCAAAGAACUCAUCCGGUUCUUGAUUCAGACGCAAUAGACUUACACGCCCGGAUGGUGGUUUUGCUGCCUCAACCUCCAUUAGAACAUCCUCCUCAAUCUUUAUUGUCUCUUCGGGGCUUUGAGUAUCAAUCUUAAUAUCCUCUUUUUCUAAUUGAGGCAAGUGUGCAUCACUCGUCCACUUCAUGGACAAGCAUUCAGGAGGAUAAUUUCCUUGUUUUGCUUUGAACAGCUCCCAUAAGGCUGCAAAUCAGUAAGUUCAAUAAAAUAUUUUACAUCAGUGAAAAAGGAAACUAGCUGGAAUGAAGUUGAAUUAUUAUUAAUGAGCAGAGAGGCACCUGCAACUCUCUCAAGCAUACGAAUCGUCAAAGAUCUAGCAGCCGGAGUUCGGAGAUAAAAUUUCCAGAACUUCCAAUCUAUAGCAAGCAUGUGUUUCACAAGUGACUGUUUUCCGUUGUUCACCGGAGUGAUAACAUAUCCCCCACCUAUGUAUUUAUAAGGAAAAAUUUAAAAUUCGAGUAAAUAUGCAAACCAUAUAAGUAGAGUCAUGUUUUGGAACAAGGAAUUCAGAGAGGGAUAUAAUGAAAUCAGGGCAAUGAGUGGAAAAAUGCAUGUGGAGGUUUAUAUUGUUUUAUCAUUCAAAUGGUGAUUCUGUAGGUUCGAUUGGAAAACUUAUUCAAAGGCAUUAAUUAGAGGAGAAUGAACUUCUAAGUUCCUAAUGUAAAACAUGCAUUACUUUUUAGACGAGCACGGACAUAGCCAUUUUGAGGUGGACACUUCUUGUGAGACGCGGAGUGGUAAAGAAUCACUGCAACAAAAAAAAAAAAAAAGAUAUGGGAUGUUAAAGCUUGAGAAUAAUAUUUCCAAAACUUCAUGCGUUUUGGUUAGACUAUAGUACCGUAUGUGCCAUCAUCCUCUCGUCUCCAAUAGCGUUGAAGUAAUAAAUCUCUUCGUUUCAUUCCCCUGUAACAACUCUGAUCAAUAAGAAAUCUAAAAUGUGAAUUAGGUUCAAAGAAGGCAUAGAAUCUAACCAUGGUAGCCAGUCGCUAUAUAACUUCUUGUGAAUGAUAUCCGUAUGACCAUCAACGUGCUCGACCACACUGCCAUGGUAGAGGCAGAAAUCCCAUCUGCAAGACAAUCGAAUAUUUAACAUCUGGUUCAUAUAUAUAUAUAUAUAUAUGAAUGUAUAUAUUCAUGAUGAUGGAACUUGAAUGGAAAGUAAAUUUGCAGCAAUCAUACUCUGAUCUUGAGGGACCAAGAGACAUGACAACACGGAAAAUUGCCUCUGAGGUCCCAUCAACCACACCGACAGCCAUUAUUGCUGGAAUAUCAUUCCAAUGCUGAGAACAAGAAGUUUCUUCAGCCAAACAAAAACAAAAAAAGAUUGAGAAUAGCAUUCAUGAUUAAUGUCCCAAGAGCAACCUACCCAUCCACGAGUAUUCUUGUCUUUUGAUUCUUUGAAAAGCCGUAACCCUGUGUUAGAAACACAAUGUCAAUGAUGUGUCGCCUUUAUGAACUUGAAUCAUGGUUUGAACUUAAUUUCGUACCGUUCUGACAACCAAAUAUUUUCCAAGGUGAGGGUGCAACAACAUCGGAUGUCAUUGCCUCAGAAUGAACAGAUGAGUGGAAAGGCCAAUGGACAGAGUCCUUGCUGUGUGUUCUCUUUGAAUUAGUCAAUCUGUUUGUAGAGGAAAACGCCAUUUAAAAUAUAUACAAACACUAACACCCAAGUCCUAAUAAUAUAGCUAAAUAAGGCAAAUACGAGGUAAUUGCAUACUUCAUACAUGUAAGUGGAGGGUUAUAUACCCCUAUCCAUAUCGGAAAAUGUGUCUAAUAUGGGUACCUCAAGAAAGAGAAGAGUCGGAACAACAUAGGUUACUAAUGAAACAAGCAUUUCAGCCUUUUCUUACAACUAAACUAAUAAAACAAAUCGGGAGAGUAUAAAAUAUAAUUACCUCAAAGAUGACCAUAUCUUCUUAGGAGAAGCUGAAAUAUUCUUUGCAAGACAUGGAGAUUCCUGAAAAAGAAAAUUAUAAAAUGUAAGGCUUCCAUCGCAAGAAUAACCAUUAAACUCACAGAUUUUUAAGUUCAUAGUAUUAAACCUUUAACGCUGAAUCCUUCAAGCAACGAAUCCACCUUGCUGCGUCCUCUGAGCUAGUCGCGCCUAACUGUAAUGUUUCAAUAUUAGAAGAUUGCUUGCUAAUAAGUUAGGUUACUGGGACUCAAGGAUGAAUGUCAGGUAUAGACUCCAACAUGGGUAUGCUCAAUCCGUUCUAUGCUUUCCUAUGUAUUUGGUAGGUCCUUGGAGGGCCGUAUCCUCAUACCCUCAUCCAGAUAUGUUCCAGACAUGGGUGUUAGUAUAAAAAAUAAACACAGUUCACAGUAUUAGUAUAUAGACCUUAAGCUGCUCAUUAUCAACUGAAGUGCUGUAAAUGGUGAAAAUGAAGAAGACCUGCAUGAGGUGAACACUUCAUAAGCAUUAAAUAUUGACAUUGCAGCACCGAAAGGAAACAUCCAAAGUCCCGGAAAAUAAAAAAAAGGGAUUUAAUAAUCAAACCUUCUUGUUUAUGCUUGCCCUUCCAUCAUCUUUGACCCGAAUGCAUGAAUCAAUUAUAGCACUUCUAACAGGCUCCUGAAAAAAGAGAGUUUCAGAUUAUUAUACUUUGAUUCAGCUGGUGUUACAAAUUAAACGGGACUGUAAUUGGUAGAUUUCUUGCAUUUCAAUUACAGAAGACCGGUUCACUAAAAAUUUUAAAGCUCAUAACCAUAAAAGACAUCACCAAGAUUUUUAAAAACGAAAUUGCGAAUCCUACAAUAACUCUUCAAUUACAGAGCAGAGGAUUUAUUUAAAGCCUUAAGCAGAAUUUCAAAUUAAGUUAUCAAGAAACCAGACAUAUGGUAUAAAAUUGGAUUCUCUUUUUUUUUUUUUCUUCAACUACUAGAAUGGAAAUUAAUGAAACUAUUGGCUAUCAAUGUAAAAAACCAACCGCUUAAACAAAAAUGAAAUCCAGAAAACUAUAUAUACAAACAUCCACACACAUAUGUAUAAACAUGAUCAAAUCAACAUAGGGUUUAAAGUAUCACUUAAAGUUGAAAUCCAGAAAGUUAUUUAUGCAUACAUACAAACAUGCAUAUAUAAACAUGAUCAAAUGAACAUGGGGCUUAACUUAGUUGGUUUAUGCAGUCUCAAAGGUGAAUUUCGAAUCUCAGACAUCCCUAACUCAUUGCAUAUUUCUAGGUAAAAUAAAAAAAUAAAAAACAAACAAACAUGCAUUUGCCUCAUUAAAUAAAAUGCUUGUCAUCAAAACAAGAACAUGUCAUAAUACCAGCAAAAAAAGAACAUAGCAUUCUCAUUUCCAUUUUCCAAUAUGGGGUUCUUUCUUUCCAAAAACAUAUAAAAGAUCCAUAGUUCAAGUUCAAAAAAAAAUCAAAUUAAAAAAAAAAAAGAAUUAAAAGAAACAAGGGGUUUACCUCUUCUUCAGAAAUGGGGGUGGCUUUAUAGCUUUUGAGAACAUUGUUAUGAAGAAUGAAGUAACAUUUGCGAGAGAACUGUAAGCCAAUACGAUUAGAACGUAUUGUAUAUAACCAGCCUUCCAUUUUAGCUUCAUUUUGAGAAACACCCAUUACUUUAAAAUCACUCAGAAACCAAAGCUUUAUUUCUUCAACUUCAAUGAAGAACGUUUAUUGCAUGGCACUGGAUAUCAUUUAUUUAUUAAUUUGCUUUGGGUUUUGAAUGAAGAUUUUGAGGGGUUGAUCCUCUGAUCCCAGCUAAUGGAAUCAGAGAAUCAAAUUGGGGAAAACCAGUGAGGCUUUCGAAAUUUGCAGAGCAAUUUAUCCUUUCCUCCUCCUCUUUAUUUUUAAAAUUUUUGUUUCUGUUUUGUUUGUUUUAUUUUGAGUUUUUCCCUUCAAUAUUGAAACUCUGUUUUUAGAAUAUAAACAGAAGAUGACGGCUUUUAUCCCACUGAUUUUCCUGUAUUUUAUUUCCUCAUAAUCAUUAGAUUUUGACAUAUUAACACUAAUUAUAUAACUAAUUAAAUACAUAUAUAUAUAUUUAUAAAAACAACUAAUUAAAAAUAUUUUAAAAUUAAUAGAAAAUCGGUUUAAACUUUUAAAUAGCAAACCUGAUAAUUUUUAGUAGUUAAUUUUGUAUAUUCAUAUAAAUUUAAUUAUUUUUACUUUUAAUAAAAUAUAUAAUUAAUGGAAAAUAUAUAAAUAUUUAAAAUAUAAACAUGUUAUACCAACAAGUGGUUCGAUUAUACUUUUACGGGGACAAUAGAGGUUUAAAUCUUAAAGAUGACAUUGUUGAAAAAGACAAUCGUAAACUCCGAAUAUAGAUCGUAAAACAGAUCGAAACAUAUCAAUAUAUAUUUUAUUAUUCAAUCUUUAUUGUUUUAAUCUCUAAAAACUCAUUGUAAAUACAUUAAUUAUAUUACAAAUGCAUUAAAUAAUAUUAUUGUUUUGAGUUAUAAAAAUAAAUAAUAUGUAUAUAUAUAUUUUUAAAAUUUAUAAUAUGUAUAUUUAAGUGUUAAGUAAUAUUUUUACUUUGAUAAAAGCAUAUCUAAAGUAAUUUUUAAUAUACUGUUUUUAUAAUAUUAUUUAUAAAAUAACUACAAUUAAUUCUUAAUCCAAAUAUUGUAUUAUUAAUAUUUUAUUAUAUUUAUGGAAAAAAAUAUAAAAAGUAAAAUUUAUUUGAACAAUAUCAUUAUAGAUUCUAAUUACAUUUGUUCUUUGUGACACAAUGUUUAGAAUUACCUAUAGCCUAUUUCGAACCCAUAAAUAGGAGGAUAAUACACUUCAGCGCACAUGCAUUGGCAACAAUUUUCAUUUCAGUAGAACUAAGACUCAAUUAACAUGAAAGUGGAAAAUUAGAUUAUAUGCAUUUACUUUUAAUAAUAAAAAAAAUAUUAAUAAUGCUUCAUAAAAAAUAUUUAUUGUAUAAACACGUUUAGUUAUCUAUUUACGGAUAAAUCUCAAAAUUAUACAUGAAUUUUUAUUCGAUGUAUAAUUCGAUAUAUAAACUUUGAUUUGAUGCAAUUAUACAUAUGAAACUACAAUUGUUGUUCAAAUGUAUACAUUAAACCUUAAUUUGAAUUCAAUUAUACAUAUUUAGAGGAAUAAAUGCAUUUGUGUAUUUUAUAUUAGAUAUAUAUAAUUAUUUUGUAUUACAAAUAUGUAUACUGAAAAUAGUGUUAUAUCGAUAAUUGUAUUAGUAAUUUGUGUAAUUGAAUUAAAUUAAUAUUUCAUGUAUAAAAGUAUACAAAACCAAGGUUUAUGUAUAGCAUUGUGUCACGGGCCACGGAUUUCUAACCUCGUGACAAUUGCACGUUCAAUUAAAGUUCAUGUAUAGCAUUGUGUCAUGGGCCACAAAUUUCUAACCCCAUGACAAUCGCACAUUCAAUCAAAGUUUAUGUACAGUUUUGAUAUUUAUCCCAUAUAUUUAAGAUAUUUUUUUUAUUCAAUGAGAAAAUUGUUUAUUUAUUAAUAAUAUUUUUGUUUCGGUAACAAUUAUAUCUAAAAUAAAUUAUUAUCUUGUCUCAAUUAAUAUUAUUAAUAAAAUAAAUAUAAUUAUGAUUUUUGGUUUAAAAAUUAUAUUAAUAAUAUUUUAUCAUAUUUUCUGAAAAAAUUGUGGAAAAAAAGUAGAAUUAAAUUAUAGGUAUUAAAAUCCAUAAUAAUAAUAUUGAUUAUUAUGUAAACAUGUUGAGUUAUCUAUUCAAGAUAACUUUUUUGUUCAAUGAAUUUUUUAUUCGAUAAAAGAAUUUUUAAUUUUUUUAAUGUUGUAGAAUUAUAUAAAAAGUAAUUUUUCAUAUAUUAUUCUUAUUAAUAUUAUUAAUAAAAUAAUUAUUUUUAUUCUGUACCUUUUAGGUUAAACAUUAUAUUAAUAAUUUUUAUCAUAUUUAUUGAAAAUGAAAUGUGAAAGUAGAAAAAGAUCAAUUGAAAUCAAAUUAAUGGUUGAAAGAAUAUGUUGAUGACGUUUUGGAGAUAAAAAGUUGAAGAUUUUGGAGAUAAAAAGUUGAAGUUUACUUUUUUAUUAUUUUAAAAUUUUAAUAAGUAGUAACAUAAUAAUAUAAUCUUUUAAAGAAAUGUAAAAUUUUUAUGGUAAAAAGUUUAAAUUUAUACAUGUUCCUAAAAGGUUUAGGAUGUAGGUUCACAAAGUGAGAGUGUCUUACCGAGUCAAAUCGUGCGUGGCACAUGAUUACCUAUCAAAGGAAAUGGUGACCAUUUGCCUAUGGUAGAAUUUGAACUAAUAGAUCCUUCAAUAAGUUGGCAUUUACCUAUCAAAGGAAAUGGUGACCAUUUGCCUAUGGUAGAAUUUGAACUAAUCGAUCCUUUAAUAAGUUGGCAUUGUCCCCAUGUUAUGUUGGAGUUUGUCUCUCAACUUUGCAAAGAGCCGAAGUGUUUAAAAAGGUUGCUUGAGAUGUAGGUUCAUAAAGUUAUAGCGUUUUGUUAAGUUGGAUCGUACGGAGUGCACAAACAUCUACCAAAAGAAAUAAUGGUCAUUUGCAAGUUUGAAGUGGAGCCCCAACCUAUAAGAUAUAAGCCACUAUGGUUUGAGUUCAAACCCUAUUUUCGUCAACUCUAAACGGGCAACACUUCAAACACUUUUUUUUAGAAAAAGUCAGUCUCUCCCUAACAAUUUAAUUAUUAUAUUAAAUUAUAGUAAAAUUAAAUAAAAUAAAUUUUAAUUACUAUAUUUUUAAACAACUUGCUAAUUCCAUUUCUUUUGUUGUCUUAGAAGUAGUUAAGUAGUCGGCCUCCGUAGUGGAGUUAGCAAUACAACUCUACUUAACACUUCUCCACAUUAUGGAGCCUCCAUCUAAUACGAAAACACAAUUCGAUGUUGAUUUCCUUAAAUCCAUCAUGUUUGGAAGUUAAAAUCAGUAUAUCUGAUGAGAGUUAAGUCCCCUCAGGAAUAUAUUAGUAUAUAAUCUCUCAUUUUUUUUGUAAAUAUUUGAGUAUAUGCUUAAUUAUUUGCCAGUAUCUAUGAUCAAGACUUGUUGAUAUUGACUCACAAAUCCUACUGCAAAACAAAUAUUUGGACAUGUGCAUAACGUCGCAUACAUGAGACUUCCAACUACCAAAGUUUCAGGAAGUUUUUUCGCAUGUUCUCUUUCUUUCGCUGUCUUAAGAUAGUCAUCUAAAUAAGGAUUAAAUCCCUAUACAAAAGGAUGUGUACCCUUAUUCGAAUCGGCCAUGGCAAAACGUUCCAAUAUAUUGUCUAUUUAUGAAGCUUGUAUUAAAGUUAUCACUUUGUUUUUUUAUCCCUAAAGAUUCAAAUUCCCAGGGCAUUGUUAACUUCACCCAACUUCUUCAUGCUAAACUAUUGAAUUAGUCACAAUUUAAUCGAUGAUAACGUCUCUACAUCAUUCCCAAAAAAUAGUAUGUCAUCAACAUAAAAAAAAACUAGAAAGACCACCAUUCCCAUGUCUGAAUAGAUAGUAGUGCAAGUGUCAGACAAAGAUACUAUAGGAAAAUGAAGAAUUUGGUAACAUAGGAUAUAUAAGCGUGUUUGUUAAAGAGUUCUAUCUUUAUUUGAAUAAUCACUCAUUUUAACAAAAUUGCAACAAGGAAAAAGGCGGGCGUGUGUUAAAAGAUUCUAUUUUUUACUUGAAUAAUCACUCAUUUUUACAAAAUUGCAACAAGGAAAAAGGUUUUAGCUUGCCUAUGCUAUUUAGAUUCUUUAUUUUUCUCGAGUACUAAUGUCUAACACAUGUAUAUGGGAUAUGAACUUCAAUCUUAUCCGUGUCAAGCACAUACAUGUAUUUAACUCUACAAUGAAUGUUGCAUCAUCAAUAAGGAAUGAUAAUAAGGUUGCAAAAGGGUGUUUGGAAUGCUAGUACGUAGGCAAAGAAAGAGUAUUUGCAAAAUAGUGUUUAAAAUGAUCGUAUGCUUUAUUACAAGGUUUAUGCUAUGUACAAGAGUGGGGUGGAUUGACCCCUAUUAAUAGUGUUAAAAUAGAUGCCAAUAAUGACAAUAUAGAAUGAUCGCAAAACAAUAAGAAAAGUAAAAUAAAACACAUAGAUUUUAUUUGGAAACCCUUUCAGAAAAAAACCACAAGCAGAGAAGAAGAAAUUCACUAAUGUUGAAAACUGAAUGAUAAACAAUAAGAAAAGAAAAAUAAAACACAGAUUUUACGUGGAAACCCUUUCGGGAAAAAACCACAAGCAAAAGAGAAGAAAUUCACUAAUGUUGAAAACUGAAUGAUACAAGAGGUGUUUCAACUACAUCUAUUUAAAGGUUGAAAAGCCUUACAUAGAUCCCAUUGUUUUACUACUGUAUUUUCUUUAACAAGGGUUUGGGUCAUACAACUCUAACAAUCUCCACCUUGACACGAAUUCUCGAAUUUAGAUUGUUAUGAGUUUAGAUUAGCAUGGACUGACUUUCGAACUUGGACCUUUUUUUGAUAGCUUUAGGUGCAUAUGAGCUUGGAAUGCAACAUUGAAAAUUAUCAGGAGUGAAAUCAAACAAUUACAAGGAGGCCCGAAGAAGGACGAGUGGGCUGUGGCCCAAAACACCGACACUCUAGCCUAGAUUCGGCGCCUCAACCUCAACUAUUCGUAUGGUUAGGCACCUUAGACCGUGCUUCAGUGUGAUUAUCUUGCGAGCCCUAGCAUUGUGCUACUGAGUUGCGGCACCAAGCUUGUGCGACAUAAGAUUCCUUUGCCAUUUUGACCUAGGGCUACUGUUUUCUUUUUCAAAUAUUAAAGUCUAAGAAAGUAUUGUAGCCCUAAUUUAGGUCAAUAAACUUUAUAAAUACAAUAUUUUUUAAGAGGGUAAUAUAACUUUUGAUUGCAUUGAACUUUUAGCUUAUUGCAGACUUAUCGUUUUUGCGCUAUUAUUUUAUGGAUUGAUAAAUCCACUUUUCUAUUCAAAGAAAUUUCGAAGUUUGAUUCAGAUAGUUGUUGAGAUCUAAUUGUUCUUAAUCUUUUAUUUUUUAUUUAGUAUUUGCAUUUUUUCUUAUUUAAUUACAAAUAUUCAGGUUUAUUGAAUAUAAGGUAUGUAUUCUAUAUUGUGUAGACAUGCAAUCUAAUUUAAAUGGACUCCACUAGUGUGUGUUUGUUGGUUAGAAUUAUGUUUAUCUCGAUCUUAAUGCUAUUUUUAAGUUAAACACUAAGUGAAAAUUAUAGGAUUGCUUAUUGAUAAGAAAAAUAAUUUCAAUCGAGCCGCCCCUUGGUUAUUGAAAUAGUAAGGAGAGAUUGGUUACUAGGCCCGACAUCGACAACUAUAACUAGUUUAUUAAAGAACAUUGAAAAUAAUAUUUUCAUCAAUGAUCAAACUCAUGAAUUAAACGAUAAUUUUAGCUUUAACUACAACUUUAUCAUAUUGAUUCCCCCCCCCAACUUUUUAUUACUUUUUUUUUAAUUUGACUUUAAUUUUAAUAUUUUUUUAGACUCCAUUAAUCUUUUUUAUUUUUAAAAAAAAUAAAAUUAUCAUACUCUACUCGCUAUUGUUUAAAAAAUUAUUUUGUAAUUCUGGGUAUUGAAUUUUGGGCUUGGAUUUUACCCAUGAAUACCUAAGAUAUGAACCGACCUGGGUAUUGAAUUCUGGGCUUCUACUUUUAAAUUUAACUUGCAGUCCCUGCCCAAUCAUUCAUUCCGUCCUUUUUCUCCUUGUGUUUUCUCUCAACUCAAACUUUUUCAAAUUUUAAUUUUUAUUCCUUUUCCGAAAUCAAAGUAAUUUUCAAGCAGAUUCAGAACAUUCCCAUCUCAAGAAGGUAUGUAGAUUGAUUUCUAUACCUUUAUUUUAUUUUACUUUACUAUGUUUAAAUUUUGCCCUUCUCCUCUUUAAACUGCAAUUUUGGGUAUCAAAUUGUGUGUAGAUUGAAAAGGUUAUGCUGGAAAUUUGUUUAAUAAAUUUUCUGGAAAAAAAAACAAUCUUUUGAGAUUAGUUGAAUAAAAGAAUUUUUUUUUAAUUAUUUGGGUUUUUACUGGAAAAUAAGAAUUUAUGGUUAUUAAGCUGUAAUUUUAGUUGAGCAAAACAAUGGGUUCAAUUCAACAUUAUUAUUUAAAACAAAAAAGAAACUUAAAUUUGUUUGAAUUUGGAAAAUUUGUUAUAUUGUGUUAAUAGAUAGCGAAAAAUGUCAAACAAAAAUUCUAUAGGAAAAUGAAGAGUUCGAGCUUCAUAGGAUAUAUAUGUUUAAGGCUUCUAUCUUUUACUUGAAUAAGUCACUCAUCUGUAUAAAUUGCAAAGGGUUUUAGCUUAUCUAUGUUAUUUCGAAUCUUUAUAUUUCUUGAGUACCGGUAUCUGACACUUGGAUAUGGGAUAUGACCUUCAAUCAUAUCCAGUUUCAAGCACAUACCCGUAUCUAACUCUUAAGUAACAGACUGAUUUGCAAUGAAUAGUGCAUUUGAGUUCUUUUUGGCUAUCAGAACUCAAUAGAUAAGUAAAUAUAGCUUGAAUUCUAUUGCAACUGACAUUCUUAUACAGUUUGUUCAUGAUUUGCCGAAAAUGACAUCUGUUGAGGGAAAUACGGCUGAGCCUCGGAAAACUAGUAAUCCGGCUGCUAACACUGCUAAGAUUCAGAGUUCAUCAUCAUCAUUCCGAAGGUGGGGUAGGAAGUAUCCUUUUAUCAGAUAUGGGCUUCCAAUGAUUUCGUUGACAGUGUUUGGGGCAGUUGGCCUUGGUCAUCUCCUGCAGGGCAGGUUAGUUUCGGUACACUUGAUUUGCAAAUUGAUUUUCCAAACCAGUUUAGUGGAUGAGACCUAUGUUUCAUCUGGCAGUGAAUAUAUCUGCUGUGCAGAGAACAGCAUAUGUCAUGUUAACUUUGAGGGGCAAACCAUGUUAUGGCGUAAAUAAUUGGCUCAGUUCUGUUCACGGUGUAUUUCUCAUGAUCGGAGUUGGACCUAUGGUAUUAGGCCGUCAGUUCUGAUGGUGGUAUAUAGUUGUAAAUUUUUAAAGUUGGAGAAAAGAAUUCCAAUGACAAUAGGAUGUAAUCAUAUGAUUGGAAAUAGAAGGCUAUUUUUGCAUUCUUGUUUGACUUGAAUUAAUCUAGCACUAUAUGAUUCUUACACCCACACAUUCACUUGUAUGUACAUAUCUUUCUGCGGUUUUCAGGUAGACAACCAAAUUAGUAGUUUAAGAAAAUGUUUUAGUAUGAUUCUUGUUUGGGCUCUUUAUCGAUUGAGUGUUGAGCAUAAGGUUCAAGUUCGAUCAUCUAUUAGUUGGGUUUGGUUGAGUUUAGUUGGUCGAGUUAGAUGACCUUCUAUCUGAUUUUCUGACUGAAAAUUCGAGGGCUUGAUCGAUGUCCAUGAAAGGUGCCACUGCUUAAACUAAGAGUACUUAUCACUGCUGCAUUUUUGUCUAUCUAGAGUUCACAAGAACACUUUCGGUUUGCAUGUUCCAAUUGAAAACUGCUGAUCAUUAUGUGGACUUCUAUUUUCAAUAUGAUUAUCUGUUUCGAUCACUGUUGCAACACCUCUAAUCCAUAGUUAGUACUUAACAUCAUCAUUUCGUUCGAUCUUCUAAAAUUUUAGACUAUUUCGUAGUUCAGCAAGGAUAUAGCAAAGGUGAAAGAUGAUCAAGAAUGGGAAAUUAUCGAGACGAGGAAAGCAUUAUCAAGAACAGGACCCAUUGAUGCGUAUAAGCCAAAAAAGAUUUCAUUAGAGGAAGAAUUAAAGGUAUACAAUUUUUUUAUUCUUAUGUUAUUCAAACUUGGCUCUGAUCACCGGAUAUAUCUCCAUACCCAUGUUUAAAUGUGCAUCGAACAUGAAUAUCAAACUUAAGUACUUUGAGAAAAUGAAGACUCUUUGUGAGACGGUUUUUCUUCUGUUUUGUAGGCUUUGCAACAGAAGGUUGAUAUAGACAACUAUGACUACAAAAGAAUUCCGAAGCCAAAUGAAGGCAACUCAGGCUAGUAUAUUUUGUGCUCUCAAUCCCAAAGGUUUCUUUCAUACUUGCAGUAAUAUUAGGAUUUUAGUGCUUUUUUUUUUUUUUUAUUGUGGUCGCUGCAUCUUGAUAAAUACCCUGGUUUAAUCCAAAUCCGCUUAGAAUAUGUUGCUCAUGUUGUUAUAGAUUGUUGUGAAAACUUAAAACACAAUUUUGGUAGUUGAGAUUAAUCAUCAUAUAUUUACCACCUUGAGAUACGCAAGCUGAUUUCCAACUUACUUAAUUUGCAUCUUCUCAGUUAUCAGUCAGGAAAAAAGGUUUUCUUGUUGUUCAAGUUUACAAUCUACACCUCGGGAUGUUUUCUUGGUUUAAAUCUGAUAUACUCAAACUGUUUGGACCGAGCAGUGAACCUACAAAUGGCCUAGACAAACCCUUUGGAGUUCCCCUCGAAAGGACCUCUCAAGCAAUCCCGAGCUUCUUAGAGACAUCCUCUGAAUCAACAAUCGAGGGUUCCACACAUUAAUUGUCAUAUCAGACUUCAUUUAUUACGUCCCAUCCUAGGUGACUGAAAGCAUAUUAUAGCAUUAUUGUACCUAGAUUUAUAAUGGUAGACCACUUGGCUACUUAUCACUGACCCUCCUAUAAGAGUCAAUACAUGAUACUUAAGGAUCAAGGCUAAGAAUAUAUAAGGCCCAAAGACGAUCACCAAAAGCCAAUCCCUCCUCACCCUCCUUCCACCAUGAUCAACUUCUACUUCGAAUCUCCCUUUCUCUUACUAUCUCUAGUUAUCUAACCUGGUGACUCUUUACCUUGUACUAAACAAGAUGAAUCGUGCCUCUUUGCUAUUCACACCGCCUUGUAAAUCAAAGACAAAUAUAUCAUUUGUAAAUCAAAAGAUGGUUUCUUCUUUUAAAUGCAAAGUUAUAUAAAGAUGAUUUCUUGUUUUAAAUUCAAGGUUAUAUAUAUAUAUUUUAAAUCAAAAAUAAUUUUUUUAUAUUUUUAUUUAUUAUAUUUAUUUUAUUCAUUAUAGAAAUGAUGAAAUACAUUUCGUAAUUAUUUGCUGGAUCAUAAAAAAAUCAUUAUUUAAUCUAAUUUUAGUAAUCAAAUAUAUGGAAAAAAAGGUUAGAAACCUAAAAUUAAACAAUUACAUUCAAAUCCUAAUUUUUUUUCACCAUUUCCUACUCAAAACCACUUGUUUCUUUACACAAAAAAGAAAUCCCUUCAUGUAAGCCUAUUAAAAGCCUCUAAUCCACUUUUUUUUUCAUAAUAUUACAUCAAAAAAUAAGCCAAAAAAAAAACCAAUUAAAGAAUCAAUAAAACAGAGAUGGCCUCCAAGAAAAAUAGAACAAUAAUGGUGAUUUUAGAAAUUAGUUCAAUCCUAGAACUUGUGCGAUGUGUGAAUAAAUGCAUGACAUUUGAGUAUAUUGGUAGUGAGUUACACAAGAAGAGGAUAAAAUUCUAAUAGUAAUGCGAAUAGUGUAACUUAAACUUAAGUGAAUAUUUUUAUUUCAUUAUUUAUGAAGCAUCGAGAUAUAAAAAUAGGGAAAGGAUAGCUUUGAAUAAAUCACAAUUAAACUUGAUUAUGUUUGGAAAUCUGAAUUUAUGAUUGAUUUUUAGAGUUAUAGACUUGUAAUUAUGUUAUAUAAAUAUAAAGGUAAUGUUUACAGUUAUUUUUAAAAUUUUAUAAAUUUGAAAUAUUUGUGAAUUUGAAAUCUAUAUUUUUAUAUAUAAUUUCAAAUAUACAAUAAUAUUUAAUCUUAGAUUAAAGCUUAUUUGAUAACUCGUUGAAAAAUUUUAAAUCAGCUAAAAAUUGAAAAUUUCAGUGAUAUAAUAUUUUAAAUGCCUUCGAUAUUCCAUAAUAAAAAUUACCUUUUUAGAACUUUUUUCAAUAGAAAAAAGAGAAAAAUAAUGAAUAAAUAAAGACUAUCUAUUACUUAGUAGAAAAUACGUUAAAGUUAAAUCUAGUUAUUUUUCCUUUUAAUACUAUAUCAUCCUUUAAGAGAAUCGUAUUUACACUACAUAUUCUAUUCAGUAAAAUUUUCUCUGAAACAUAAGCCAUAAAUACAUCAAUUACAUGUGAAAAUUUAUUCUAAGCAUAAGUGUUAUUACAUUUUAGAAUGUGGAAAAAAAUUAUCCGUAAAAGUAUUAUUGAGAUUCUUGUACUAAGAAUUAAAUUAUAUUUUGUUCUUUCUAAUUAAAAAAUAAAUAAAUUAACUCAUAUACUAUUAAAUAAAGGAACAAACUGAUUUUUCCGUUCAGAGACGCCUUAAGAGUAAAACAAGUAAAGCCUUUACUUUAGGCCCUGAAUGAAUAUAUAUAUAUAUAUAUAUAUAUAUAUAUUAGUCGUAAUUAACUAUAUAAUGAAGUAUUAAAAGCCGAAAAGUCAACAUUAAUGAGGCUUAUGAAAGUAAUUUUUUAUGGAUUUCUAAUUAGAAGUUAUACAAUCCAUGCCGUUGUUAUAGUCUAAAUUUAGUAUUUCGUGAUAUGAUUUCUCUUUGCUCUAAAACUGCAUCUUUUAUUUUUUUUGGAGUAUUACAAUGAAUAUAUUCAUUAUUUUCUUCUUCAACGAAAAGAUGAAAAAUUUUACAAAAUCUUAUAUCAAGCCUAACUCUUAAAUUAUCGUCACCAACACAUUGAGAAAGUCGUAUUGAAAGUUUAAAACUAUAAGAUUUUAAGCUCCAAAAAUAAGAGAUGCUUUGUUGAAAUUAAUUGAAGUUAGUGAUGAUCCUAAAAUCAAAAGUGAAUCUAAGCUUGUUAAAUGAAUUUGUAAGGUUGUCUUAGUAUAUUAUUUUGACUAUACCAACUAUUCCAUAUUCAACGAUCUCUUUGGCAAUGUGAUCGAUGUGUUUAGUCCUCUUAAAAUGCCUACUCUAUUGUUUUAUAUUUUGUCACAAUACAAUGUAAUAACUUUUCACUAUUCCAUCUUUAACAAUCUCUUUGACAAUGUGAUCGAUGUGUUUAGUCCUCUUAAAAUGUCUACUCUAUUGUUUUAUUGUUAUCACAAUACAAUGUAAUAACUUUUCUCGUAUUAGGAAUUAUUUUGAGGUCGAAGUCAAAUGUUUCCUUAGUUGCUUCUAAAGCAACCACAUAUUUAGCUUCCAUAGUAAAAUCAACAAUACAUGUUUGCUUGACACUCCUCCAAACUAUUCACCAUAAUAAACGAUCAUAUUUUGUUAAUAUGAGCUUACCUUUGGAGGAUAAGAACUAGGUUUGCCAAUUAUCGAGCCUUUUACCUACUAAAAUCCAUACAGAUAUAUAAAAUUUUAAAUAAAAAUAUAGAUAAAUGAUACGAAUACAAUAUAAUAUUAUUUGAUAUAUCAAUGGAAUGAUAUUUUAACUUCAUAGGCGGGGUUAAAAAGUCACAUGUUCCACAGAUUAUUUCUUCUUUCUACCCUAGAUAUUAUUUUAUGGGUGAAUGCACUUAGUAGGUCCCUCUAUUAUGGAGAUCGGAUUAAGUUAACCUUUAUACUAUAAAUUGAUCAAUUUAGUCCUUGUAUUAUUACAAAAAAUCAAAUAAGGUUAAAUUUUAAUAUAGUUAACUUUUACUGUUUAAAAAAAAUAUCAUUUACUAUUUAAUAAAGGUAUAUUUUAAAAGAUUUUUAUGAUUUUAUAGAUGAAAUAUUUUGUUUGGAUUUAAAUUGCAAGUGAAAAAAAAUAAUUUUCAUGUUAUUUUUUUAAAUAGUAAAUGUUAACUUUAUUCCAAUUUGGACUUAUUUGACUUUCAAAUAGUAUAUGAAUUAAAUUGAACCAUUUAAUACUAAAUGGACUAAUUUGAUCUGAUCCAUGUAAUGGAGAGACUUCGCAGGUAUUUUAACAUUUUUUUAUGCUUAUUUUAAUAAAAAACAGACCUUUAUUUUCUUUAUAUUUUUAUUUAUUAUUUCUAUUUUAUUUAUUGUAUACUAAUGUGCUUGGACACCAUACAGUAAUUGGAUGAGGGUGCUGUAAUUAUAAGAAAUUCCAUUUCUCUAAAUGUGUUGGGUGACAGAAUAUAAUUACAUUGUAGUUUCUUAUGUCAUGUUUAAUAACAUAAAUUGUAAUUAUAAAACUACAUAACUUUAGUUUUAUAAAAAUAUUAAUUAUCAUAAAAAUGAUUAAUCAUACCAAAGAAAAAAAAUUUUCCGAACAAGUAACAAAAUUUAAAAUCAAAUCAAUGUAUGCAAUAUGUUAGUCUAAAAAAGAUAUUCGACAACACAACUUCUAAUAAAAUUAACAAGAAAAAUAAAUAUUGUAUACAAUUUUAUCUAAUUAGCCUGGCAUUUUAUAUUUGUUAGGUUAUUCUCUCUGUAACAUUAUACAUAUACUCCUUGUCAUGAUCAUUGACCAAUUAUAAUUAAUUCAUAAUAAAUACUAAUUUAAUUAAAUUUAGUAUAAUUUAUUUAUAAUAAAUACUAUUUAAUUUAGUUAAUUAUUUAAUAGGUUAAUAUUAAUGGAAAAUUAUCUCUCGCCUAUGAAUUUUUUUAGAUCAUUUAAUCAAGAUUAGUAAAAUAACAUAUAAUUAUAUUUUUAAAAAUAAAAUAUAUAAAAAUAUAUAUCCUAAAGUUAAAAUAUUAUUACUAUUAUAUAAAUAACUUCUUAAAUUUAAAUAAUGUACGGAUAUGUUUGGAAAGCCGUAUGGUAAUUAGAAUUGAGUGUAAUUCUUUGUAAUUACACGCUCCCUAUAAAUUUUUUUUUUAUAAAAUUGUAAUUGAAAUGCUUUAAUUAUACUCAAUUCAGUAGGACCUGCUAAUUACAACGAUCACUUAAACAUGUCAUACAUGUGUAAUUACAAGCUAAUUUAAAAUAUGACGCACGAAAAGGAACAGGGACCAAAUGGGAAAUUAUUCUCAACCCCAUUAAACGUGCCGUUUCCAAGAGUGACCAAAUGACCAGAGGACCAAAAAAAAAAAUUUAAGUGGUAUAAUUUUUAAAAAGGAAAAAGGUCGAAAAUAGAACCCUAUUGAAAAGCAUCUAAAAGGUGGAAGGACUAAAGCUAUAAAUAUCCCCCUAAAAAAACAUGCGGAUCCUAGGGUUGAUUCGGGUUGGGCAAUUGGGUCUUGCUUCAAAACGACGCCGUUUUGGGGCUUCUAAAGCCAGGCCAAAACGACAUCGUACCGAGGCUCUAUAUAAGUCAAAAUUUUCAGGAAAAAAAAAUCACUUCUCCUGUGUUUUAAAAAAAAAAACCUCUCCUUUCCCCCUUCUUUUUUCUCUGAACACAUCGUUGGAUCCGACCAUAGGGCCGUCAAAUGCCUGCCAUGGCCACUGGUCACUGGCGAUGGCAACAACGACCGUCGUCUCCGGUGGUCGGAGUUACAAAAAACAAGCCUUCUUAGCCUCUUUUUGACCUAGAUCUGAAGGCAAAGCCUUCUUUUCGCAAAAAUAAAAAAUCAAAAAAUCAAAAAAUCAAAAAAUCAAAAAAUCAAAAAAUCAAAAGAGAAAACUUUAGGCUCUUUCACCUAGCCGACGCGCCUUUCACGCCCUGUUCUGUCGAAGCCCAGGCCAAACCCUAAAGGGUUUUGGGGUUUUCAUUGUCAGAGAAGACCUCCGACGAUAGAGGGAGGUGAAGCGACUCAGGUAAAAUAGAUUUAUUUAUUAUACUUUUUCGAAAUAAAAAAUAAAAAUAAAAGAAUCACCUUUGUUUUUUUCUUUUGUAUUUUCUUCCUUGUAAUCAAUACAUCUCAAAUCUCUGGCUUUUAUAGCCGAUUACACAAAUAUUUUUCUUUUCUUUCUUUUGUUGUUUUUGAUUUUUUUAUCAUCUGUCUUGUUUUCUUUUCUCUUUGCAGGUGUUUGUGGUUAAUGAUGGUGGGAGUCGCACCCUUGCCAUUUCGAUGCAACGAUGGCAGGGGAGGCCAUCCUCGGGCGACGCAUCCACUGAUGUGGCCAGGAGCAACAGCGCAUAGGUGGUCUAGGGUUUUUUAGUUUUCUGAAAAGUUUAGAUCGUGGGCUUUGGGUUAGGUGAUAUAUUUUGGGCUUAGUUUGGGCUCGUAAGAUUUGUUCAUUUUUAAUUUAUCUUUUUUUUUGUUUUUUCUCUGGCCCGGACAAAAUUGACCUGUUACACAAGCAAUUACACAUAAAUACAAUUAAUAGGUGGCUUUCCAAACAUACCCUAAAUAAGGAUCACGAUUCUAGCAUCAAUUAAGAAAAUAGAGGAUAAAUCGUUAAACAAUUAAAUAGCUUUAAUUAUUGAACCCAAUAUUUGGCCGGUUGGUCAUGGGUAUUCAUCUUAUACUUCAAGUCUUGGAUUUGAGUCGUGGUGUGUGUGAAGUAGUGAUUUGCUCUAACGAAAGGUGUGUGAGUUGUAUUAAAAAAGAAGAAGAAGUAUGAUUAUAAAUUAUUUAUUAAAUCAUAAAAUCCCAUUUUUAAUCUAAUUUUGGUAACCAAAUAUAUUUGAUUAAAAAGGUUGAAGCCCUCUAAAAUUAAACAUUUUUCAUCCAAACCUCAUGUUCUUUCUCCAUUUUUUACUCAAAACCAUUGUCUUUUUACACCAAAAAUCCCUUCAUGUAAACCUAUUUAAACACUCUAAUCCAAAACAUUUUUCACAUAUUACAUCAAAAAUACCAAAAAAAAUAAUAAAAUUCAAUAUAAAAGAGAUGGCCUCCAAGAAAAAUAUGACAACAAUGGUGAUUUUUGUGAUGAUUUUAAUGGCUGGAAUUUGUUCAAGCCAAGAAAUUCUCCAUGUGUGAACAAUUGCAUGCCUGAAUGCAUGGAAGACGAAGGUUCUAACAAAGCUGACUGCUUAAAAGCUUGUGAACAGAAUUGCAAUGAGACUAAAGGAAAAGGGGUUGCAAUUGAUCUUGAGUCGAAGAAAAUUACUUAAUUGAUUUGUUUUUCCAUUUUUUAAAAUUCUUUUUGGAUUAUUAUCAGAUAAAUCAAUAGCAUUUUUUUUCCUUUUAACUUUACUAGAGGCCAAUUGAGUCUUAAAUCGAUUGACAUGUGCAUUGUUGUUAAUAUAGGAGGACGUUAGUUCGAAUAGAUUGAAGUGUAUUAUCCUCCUAUUUAUGGAUUGUAGAGCGGUUAGGAGUAGUUCUAGAUAUUAUUUUAGAAUGAGCAAAUAUGAUCAAAAUCUAUAAUAAAAUUAUUUAAAAGGAAAUGACUAGAAAAACUCGUGAAAAGUUAAAAAAUUAAAUUGCGUUUAGAUGAUAAUUAAUUAUUUAUUUUUCUUUGGAGUGAAUUAUAAUAAGGGAAGGAUAGCUAGCUUUGAAUAAAAUUUUAUUUUAUGGAAAUAAAGUAUCAUCCUUUUCUAAUUAACGUUGCGUUACGUUUGGGAAUUUGAAUUUACUAUUAGUCUUUAAAUUUAUAUAUAUAUAUAUAUAUUAUGUUUAGCCUUUAUAAAUUCUAUGAAAAAACAUAGAGAUAAUAAUUUAUUUGAUGUUUUAUUUUUUUAAAAAUUUUUUUAGUUAUGCAUUUAAUUUUUUGUCCAUUUUUAACUUUUAAAUUUUCGUUAUUUGUCAAAUCAUCUCAAAAUAGAUGAAAAUAAUUAAUGUCUAUUCACUUUGUUGAUAUGACAUAUUAUUUAAAAAAUUAUAAAAAUAUAUCAAAUUAUUUUUUAAAUAUUUUUAAUUUUUUUAAAAAAUAAUUAAUUGCUAACAUUACAUACGUGUGGAUUAUCAUGAUGCUAAAUAAAAAAAUUUAAAUUUAUUAAUUUUUCCAUCCAUUUUGGAGUGAUGUGACAAAUAAUGCAACUUAUUCAAAUUCAAAAGCUAAAAGAAACGAAAAACAUAAAUAGGAAACUAAAAUAAUUCUUUUCGUAAAUUUAAAAUGUCAAAUAAAUUAUUAUGAUAAAACAAAUAUUAUUGAUAUGAUUUCUUUCUAUUAUUAAUAAUUAAUUAAUAUUACGUUAAAUUCAACUUCAACUCAACUAAUAUAGUUGAAUAAAACCUUUAUUAUUUAAAAAAAUUAUUUUUAUAUAAUAUCAAUUUAGUAAAAUAAUAAUUUUUUAAAACUUGUGCUUUAUAUAUAUAUAGAGAUAUCAAAAUAAGCCUCUAACUUUUAAGAGAAAAGAUUGAAUGAAACUAUGAUUCCACAUCAUCCCUAUCCCUCCAAUAGAAGAAUGAGGAAUUAGGAGAAAAAAUUUUAUUUGUCAUACUCCUAUUGGAAAGUGAAAUGAAUGACGUAGAAUCACAGUUUCAUACAAUCCCUUCAGAACCUUUUGUAACAAAAAUAUAAUUAGAUUUUUUUAAUAUUUAAAUGAAUAUAUAAAGUAAACAAAUAAUAAUUUUGAUCUAACUAAUGAUGGCUUCUCGCCACUCUCUCACUAGCCUUGAGUGGCUAGGUUCUCCACUGCCGGCGGAGUUGGAGAGAGCAACCAAAAAGGUGAAACGUAAAGAUGUUUCCACGGUGUCUUGGAGAUGGUAUGGAUAGGGAGGGCACUUCAUUUAGGGAUAUUUUGAUGGCUAAGGAUGUGGGGGAAGACAAAGAGGAUACCUUUUUAGAUGAUAGUGUUUUUGGAUGGGAAAUACACUGAAAUUUGUUUUUCUGAAAGAGUAUGUACAUUCCUGGAUUGAUCAGAGCAUGGGCAAAACCCUAGUGAUCUGAUACUUGGCCGUUCGAUUGGGUAUAGGGCUUUGUUAAGAUGAAACGCUAGUUUAUGGGAAUUGAGCAAAUCUUGAUAACAGUUACUUUCUGGUGAAAUUUUCUAAGUAACAUGAUUAUGAUGAAGUUCUUUCGGGAGGACCAUGAAUGGUUUGUGGGCAUUAUUUGGUGGUACAGCCAUGGAGCCAGGAUUUUUCAACGGAAGAAACCCAACCUUGGAAAAUUCGACUCUCGGAUCUACCAAACAAGUAUUAUACUAAGGGUCUCAUUCGUUAGGAACACCACCAUGUGCAAUCUAGAACUGCAAUUGUCCUUGAUCAGUAUUGACGCCAUUACCCAGACAUGUGAAUACGGAGGCUUUACCAACAGUAUGUUACAAUUAUUGACGUUUUGGUCACACCAAAGAGAGCUGCGGGAAGAACACUGAGGAGGAGAACAAUGGGAAACCAAAUACUCAACACCUCAAUACACAUACAUAAACUGCAACAAGAGAAAUACGUACUCAAAAUGAAAAUUUUACAUCCAAACCUAUUAACACAACAUGAAAUUGUAAAACAUUUAAGAAAAAAAUAACCUUGAGAAUGAAACAAACACUUUAAAAUAAUUGAGGACAAUAGAAUGCAAAUGGCAGUAAAAUAAGUACUCACUUUUGUUUCAUGUUCAAGAAUACAAAAAUAUUAUUAUUUACGAAAAUAGUAUAAUUUUCUCCUUAAUUCCAUUUAUUGUUACAUAAACUAGUUAACUUAUGAACUCAAUUGAAUGCAGCAACAAUACACUUUUGCGAUGGAGUGUCCUGAGGGUAAUACUACAAAUGUUUUAAGGAGUAUGCAAAGUUGAAAGAGCCCUUUUCUCGGAUGGGACAAGUUGAAUAUUGAUGGUACGCGUAAACCAAUUAUAUGAUCACUUGUGGAGGAGUUAUACGGGAUUGAAACGGGAAAUGGAUUGUCAAAUUUUCUAGAUUCAUUGGUUCCUGUUCGGCAUUGGAAGCGGAACUUUGGGGUGUUGUUGAAGACCUUUAGGUUGCCUGGUGGAAUAGAUAGAGAAGAGUUAUUCUUGAAUUGAAUAAUAUUGACGUUGUUAAUAUGUUGACUGAUAGUGCUAAGGUUGGAAAGCAUAACUUGGGUCGCGAAGCUCAUAUGUACAUGAAGAAGGAAUGGGACAUAUGUACAUGAAGAAGGAAUGGGAGGUGAUGAUACAACACGUCUACAGGGAAGGCAAUAAGCUUUGUUGAUGGCUUAGCUUUGACGGCUUAGGAUCAACCAUUGCAAUGUUUCGUUUUUUUACUUUCCACCCUAUGCAAUUUUUAAUUUACUAUAUGCUGAUGCUCAUGAUUUUGUAACACCAAGAAUAAUGUCGGCUUAAUAUUUAUUUUAUUUUUUUUAAAAUAAAAAAUAUUAUCAACUCAAUCAAAGAAAAUAAAGCAUUAAAAUAGGGGAAGGGAAGAACCCAAAGCUCUCAUCAAAUUAAUUACACACUUCAAAAAUACCAAAACAACAAUUCAAUCUAUUUCUUAGAGAAAAAUUAUUAAUCUAAAUAAAAUUUAUUAAUGUUUCAAAUUAAUUUUUGUAAAAAAAAGCAAUAAAAAUAAUAACAUGUAACCUUUUUAAAAAAAAUAUCACGUUUUACCUAUUUUAAUUUUUAACAUACCCAUAAUCUAUUCCCAACUUAUAAAUAGAAGCAACAAAUUCGAACUCACAUCCUCUUAUAUUAGUAAGAGUACUCAUGCCAAUUGAACUAAUACUCAAUCAGUUCAUUAAUAAAUAAUUUUUAAUAAUAAAACAAUAUGGAAUAAUAUUAUUAAAACACAUUAUCCAAUAAUAAUAUAAAAGACACUAGAUAUUCAAAUUUAAUAUGGGCUUGAGAUAAAAUAUAAUUACUGCAAUUAAUUUAUGAUUUUAUCAUUUUUUAAAAGAAUUAAACAUAUUUUUUUUUAUUUUUGGGGUUAAAGUAUAGUUUUACCAUAUAAAAAAAUUAUAAUUUAAUAAUUUUAAGGGGGCUAAAAUAUAAUUUUUCAUUUUCGAGAGGCACAAGGCCCUUGCCUCCUCCUUUUGCAUUCACCCCUAAGAAACAUAUACCCUAGAUUCAAGUUAAUCUGACAACUUGUCGGAGAUUGAAGAAGAAAACUAUUUAUAUUUGAUUUGAAGAUUCGUUACGUUUAAAAUUAUUUAAAAAAAUUAAAUUGUAGAAGAGAAGGAGAAAAAAAAACUUUUAUUGGUACAAGCGAUGCGAACGGAAAAUGACAUACAACAACGAUAUUAACAGCUCAGUAACAUAAAUAAAAACUUUCAAAUAAUUCAAUGACUAUUUUGUAACUUUCUAAAGUUAAGUAACAAAAACAAAAAUUUAUUAAUAAUUUAAUAACCUUAAAUAUAGUUUACCCUACUUUACUUCGAAUCCAGUAAAAAAAAAUAUAGUAAAUGUAAAAAAAUAAAAGAAAAACAAUUAAGUAUUGGUUAACCGAAGCUGAAGAAAAUUCGAAACUUGCAACCAAUCCCAAACCUUAUUUUACUCCAUGAUUCACUCAAAACCACUUAAUAAAUAUAUCAACUAAAAUCCCAUAUAAAUAUUCCAAUUCUUCCCACUUAUUUUCACAUCAUUGAAAAUUAAAAAAAAAUAAAAAAUAAAUAAAAUAAAUAAAAAAUGGUUACCAAAAAAACCAUUUAUUUGGUAGUGUUAAUGAUUCUGGGUUUGAUUGUGAUUGCCCAAAGUGAUUGUGUAGAAAAUUGCUAUCCAAAGUGCGUUCAAGAUGUUCGUGAAAAUGAAGGAUGCAAACAUGCAUGUAAAAGAUUUUGCUCCGAAUAUGCUGGAAUGUUUUAAUGAUUAAGAGAUAUGUAAUUUUGUUGUACGUAACAUUAUAUUAAAAUUUAUUUUGUUAUAUAAUCUUUUUUAUUAGAGCUAUAGAAUUUUACUUAAAGAGAUUUUGUAAAGAAUAUAUAAAAGAUUUUUAUAAUUUAAAAUAAAAUUUUAGAAAGGACAUAAAAUAACAUGUAAAUGAUUUUGUAAAGAAUUUCUUGCAAUUGGUUUUUUAAUUGAUGUUUAAAUUUGAUUAUUCAAUUUAUCUUAAUUAAUGUAAAAUAAAGAAAAAUAGUUGAUACGUUACCGAUAGAAAUUUUAGACUCCAUAAAUAGGGAUAAGAGAUUAACAAGGGUUUUUAAUGGUAUUGUAAAAUAUUAAAAAGAUAGACACAUAACAAUUUUUGAAAGUUACCUGUAAAAUAUAAAAAAUAUACAGUCAAUGUACCAAAUAUUAACCCGUAAAUUAAUAUAUAAAAGAUUUUGUUCCGAAUAUGCCGGAAUGUUUUAACGAUUAAGAGAUAUGUAGUUUUGUUGUACGUAACGUUAUAUCAAAAUUUUUAUGAUUAUAUCAAUAUUAAAAUUUUUAAUAUUUUAAUUAAACAUUUUGCUAUAUGUUCUCUUGUUUUUAGAGCUGAUAGAAUUUUGCUUAAGAAAUUUUGUAAAGAAUAUAUCGAAAAAUUUUAUAAUCUAAAGUAAAAUCUUAAAAAGGAUAUAAAAUAGUAUGCAAAUGAUUUUGUAAAAAAAUUUCUUGCAAUUAUUUUUCUAAAUGAUGUUUAGAUUUGAUUAUUCGAUUCAAUUUAGUUAAUGUAAAAUAAAGGAAAUAUUUGAUACACUAUCAAUAAAGAUUUUAGACUUUACAAAAGGGUUAAAGGAUUAAUAAGGGUACAGUAAAAUAUUUAAAAAAAAAAGAUUGUUUGUGAAAUAAAAAAAUAUACCGUCACUAACCCAUAAAAUAAUAAAUAAAAUAAUUUGUAAAAAAGAGAAAAUAUGAUAGAAUUAUUCCCUCACUAAUGUUAUAGACUUGAUAAUUUGUUAUAUGUAUUUUUUUAGUGAAUAUAUUUUAGAGGUCCCUCUAUUAUAGGAACAUGAUAAAAUUAGUCCAUUUACUAUUAAAUGAUUUAGUUUAGUCCUUGUAUUAUUAAAAAAAAUCAAAUAAUGUCAAAUUUAAAUAAAGUUAAUAUUUAUUUUUUAACAAAGUUAAUAGUUUAAAGUUUUUUAUAGUUCUGUAAAUAAAAUAUUUUAUUUGUAAUUUAACUACAAUUAAAAAAAUAGUUUUGAAGAUAUUUGUUAUAUAAUAAAUAUUAAUUCUGUAACAAUUGAGACUUGUUUAAUUCUUUUUAAUAAUAUAAAAACUAAAUUGACUCAUUUAAUAAUAGAUAGACUAAUUUAGUCCCUACCAUAUGAAAGUUUUUGUAAAAGUUAAGGUGGAUAUUUUUGUAAUUGUAGUAAUAAUACUAUUAAUUCGUAUAUUUAUAUUAUCUUUUUUCUUGACAUAGUCUGCUUUAAAAUAUUUUUAUUAUAAAUGUUUACAUAUUAAUAAUUCUCAUGGUAUGUAUUUUGCACAUUUUUAUAUUUUCUUAGAAUAAUAAUUUUUUUUUUACCUUAAAAAAAUCAUUUUACCUUUUUUUUUUCUUCACACUUUUCUAGACCAGUAAAUUUCUAUCAUUUGUAAAAUUACUCAUAGCGGAAAAGUUUUAAGUUUUCUAUAAAUGGUACUAACGUGGCAUCCAAGCAUAUACAUAUUAUUCUACAUGGUAGUUAACAUGUAUUCACUGCUAAUGUGUUACUAUUUUGUCAUAUAUACUAUACUAACAAUUAAUUAAAAUUUAAUAAAUUAUUAAAACAUAAAAUAGUUAAAAUUAUUAAAUUAUAAAAAUUGAAAACUGUAAAAUUGAAAAAUUAUUGAACUUCUCAAAAAAUUAGAUGUUAUAAAAAUAAAAAAAAUACAAAUAAUAAAAUUAUUAAAAAAAUUAAAAAUUGUAAAACAAUUAGAAAAAAUAUAUAAUAAAAAAAUUAUUUAAAAAUUAUAAAUAUAAAAAAUUGAUUCAUUCAAGCCAAACCCCUUACCUCAAUAAUCGAUUCAAUUUUUUUUGUUCAAAGCAAAAGAAAUUUUGUGUGUUAAUUUUCAUAAUUUUGAUUAUUGUUUUGAACUGCCACAAGAAGUUAGAGAAAAAGUGAAAAUUCUUUCAACCAAUUAUGAGUAAUUUGAUAAACAAUAAAAAAUUAAUAAUUAAAUAAAAUAUAAAAAAUAGACUAAAAUGAUUUUUUUAUAUAAUUCAAAAUUGAUAAAGAUAUUAUAUUUUUUAUAUUAAUUAUUGUAUCUUAUUUUAAUUAUUUUAUCUAUUAAUAAUUUAACCUCAUUUUCUUGAAUGAUCUUAGACAUGAUCAUUGAAUUAUUUUUGGGAGGGAUACAUAUAUCGUCCAUUACCAAGGUUGCUUGUUCCCAAUAGUAUUACAAGACAAUUGCAAUCGGCAUUACUCGAUUAAAGUGUACCAUUCUUUUUGAAAGCUUAAGUGUAUUAUGGUCAGCCAAAUCAAAUUUAGUUCGUAAUGAAUUUAUGCAUGAUAUUAAUAUCAUACAUAAUUAUUUAAAUCUAAAUUUUAUGUUCAAUAGAUUUUUUUCUUAAAAACAUCAUUCUAAUCUAAUACUUUUAUCUAAAUCUUUUAAAGUUUCGAGCAGACUCUUAAAGUUGACCCUAUAAUAGGUCUAGUAGAGACUACUUUGUGACCUAAUGACUAUUGUAUUUUCCACAAAUUUGAACCUACAACACCAUCCUUCAAACAACCAAAUUGCAAUGUAUAUUACUCAGUAGAAUACAUGUAUAUAUUCGACACAAGUAUCCUGAAAUUUGUGUUAAUAUUUUUAAAUAUUAAGUCAUUUUCUCAUACCCAUAUUCAGAUGUAUCAAAUAUAAUAAAAAUGAAAAUCUGAAUAACAUAAAUUGCGGUAGCAUAAAAACAUUAACAUAAAUGACUCAAAAUGUUGCAAAUUUAGGUGCUCCAUCAAUGAGAGAUGAUUCUAUAACAUAAAUGACUACUGUAUUUUCCACAACUUGAACUUACAACGCCAACCUCAUCCUCUCAACGAACAAAGUGCAAUCUAGGUUACCCAAAUUCGCAGUAAAUGCUAGAUACAAGUAUAUGUCCGACAUGAGUAGUCUUACUUUUUCCUAAAUAUUUUAGAAGAUGAUACUCCCAUAUCCCUGUUAGAGUUUAUGUCGGAGUAUAUUAGUCCAACUUUUCAUUUUUCUCUAAGUAUUUGUGCCCAACACCAGUGUCUAAUGCAUAUUACUACAUACUAGAGUCAGGCAUAUAACCAUACCUAACACUCACACUCGAAUUCAAGUAACAUUGGUGUAAGACACAAAUGUCGAACAUAAUUUCUUUUAAGAAAAUGAAAUUUUGAGUAACAUAGAAUGCAGUACCAUGCAGAAUUAACAUUAACGACUCAAAAUAUUGCAAAUUCGAGUGCUCCAACAAACAUUAUAUAGAUGAAGCUUGUGCUUUAUUCUUUGAGUGCCUUUAAGAAAUAUGAAACAGAAAAUGCUUACCCACCACUUAUAGGAGGAAUAAUGGCCAAUUCAUCUUUGUCUUUAACAACAGCUGACUCGGUUGUGUAUUCUUCAUUGAGAACAAGAACAAUACACUGACGAAUCUCGUCCAAGUUAGGAAACUUUGCAACAAGCUUGUUCAGACAAUCUUGAGUAGUGCUACCAGAUGAAACCUCCAUUGAUAACUCGGUCAACCCUGUUAUAUCUCGAGCUUUGGCGAAGAACAGCACCUUUAUCUGAACGAAUGAUUCAUCUUUGACAACUGAUUGCACUGCAGGAAGAUUAUCCUCCUUAGUUUUCAUGUUAACAAUGGGACGCAGCACUUGAUUUAUCACAAAUUGAACCUGUUGAUGCUGCAAAAGAAUAAAAUUGACUUUAAACCACCAUUAGUAUUCGGGGAAAAGGAAAUUCAAAUCUUGAUCUUCAAGCACAGAUCAUAAACCAACUACCAAGCCAGAUACUGGUUCAGCAGUAAAUAUCUGUUAGGAACCUUGAUUCAUGUAAUACUAGAACAGAAUCAUAAGUACAUAAAUCAGGUGAGCACUACAUGUCAGAAAUUCAAAUUACGGGGUCGAAACACGAAUUCAGUUUCUCUGCCAUCUACAUUCAAAUCAAUAGACGAUAACAGCAUUCCGUUGGAACAGCAAAUCAGCACCAAUAAUACACCAACUAUUGAUCCAAAUAUUAAGUACAGCACCGAUAUCUACUAGAAAGCAGGAUUCAUGAAAUACUUGAACAGAACUACAAGUACAUAAUUCAGAUGAAAAAUAAAGAUCAGAAAUUUGAAUUAAUGGGUUGAAACAUGAUACUACAAGUAUAGCAAUUUCUAUUCUUUACGCAAUUUAUAUUUAAAUCUGUUAGAUCAUCGUACAUUCGUCCUAAUAUCCCUAAAGUAUUGGGAAUAAUAGCAUUUGUCUGCAUAAAGAAUCAGAUGAACAAUACAUAUCAGGGAUUUGAACUAACAAGUCGAUGGUUUUAUACAGCAAUCAGACCACAAAUCGCCCCCCAAAUAACCUAAAAUUCAGCGCAAUCCACCAAACUUACAUAAAUUUUCAAGAUUCUAGAUUAUGAACUCAUUUAGCAGGAAGGCGAUUACUGAAAACUAAAACCCGAAAUGGGUUUCUAAGGAAUUAAUCGAUUAUGCAAGGAUUCAAUUCAAAUUAGAUUGUAAAUUCAGAUUACAAAAGAGCAGUUGGGAGAUUAGAAAGAAAUCGAUACCUGGAGAGAGUCUGAAAAUUACAGGAUUCAGAAUCAGAUCGAAUAUUGAUACUUGAUAGUGUUUUUAAACAGUAAAUUAGAAAUUAAAAUGUUGACCAAUGGUCUUAGGUUUGCUGCUAACACUGGAGAACUGAUUGGUAGAGGAUAAGAGAGGAAGUUAUUUCUGAAGGGUUCGUCGAGGCUUAAAUAUGGGAUUGGUGCAGACUACAAACAUUAACGGAAACCAUUCGUCAAUUUAGUAUAGGUCAGUUAAAUUGGUUAUACAGUGGGUUUAUUUGAUUAUAUUGAUAAUAUUUUAGAAUUAAAUCCAUCAAUUUAAUCCAUUUAAUGUUUUAUAUUUUUAUAAUUAUUUAUAUUUUAUAGUAAUAUAUAAGUUGGUUAAGCCAUAUAUUUAUUUUAAAUAUAUAUUUUAUAAUAUAUUUAUUUUAAGUCGGUUCAAGACUUAUUUACGAGUUUAGUAAAAAAAUUAGAUCUAAAAAAUAGCUUAUUUAAAAUACAAGUCAAUUUUAGGCUUAAAUAUUUAAUAACCUAAUCCUAGCUUAGCUCGACCUAUUUUUUAGGUAAGUAUUAUACUAUUUUUAUAUAUUAUAUAGAUUAAAAUGCAUGAAAAUUAAAUAUAUAAUAUAUAUAAUACUACAAUGUUAAUACUAAGUAUUAAAAAAAUUUUAACCAAUAAAAAAAUGUAAAAAAUUAAUAUAUAUUAAUUAAAAAGAAUAUAAGUAAUUUUUAAAAAUUCAAAAAAUAUGAGUUUAGAGUGAAAAUUGUAUGAAAUUAUGAUUUUGCGUCAUCCUUUAUUCUUUCCAACAAGGAAAAAUCUGAGCCCUUUUGAAUGAGGAAAAAUCUGAGGUUGAAUUACAGAUUUAUAUAAUCAUUUCUCUAUGAGUUUAAGUAUUUUUAAGCAUAUUGGAGCUAAUAAACAAUUCUGAAAUAAUCAUGCAAUAAAAUCCAUAAUCUGAUCUCUCAAAUGCUAUUAAGGAAUAAAGAAAAUAGUUAUGAUUACUGGUAGUUAAUAUUAGCUGUUAGCAGUUAAUUAGUUGUUAGCACUUAGCUUGUUUAAUUCUGUAUAAAUACAGCAGCUGGUUAUUCAGCUAGAUAUGAUUGAAUCAAUUCUUCCUUCCUUCUUCUUGAAUUGUCUUUCUCAUUAUGGUAUCUGAGCCAUAAUUUUUUUUUUCUCUUUUCUCUUCUCAUGGCAACUGAAGCUGUUUCGGGUAAUGAUGAUGAGAAUCGGCAGUCGUUUAAUACUGCUGUUCAUGCAGAUGGUUCUUCACACGAUCUUGGCAAUGCUUCUUUGAGGAGGAUUCAGCAGUUUCCUAAGCAUGAUACUGUGAAACUUGGUGAGCAUAAUUUUCUUUUGUGGAAGCAACAAGUUCUGUUGAUUCUUGAAGGAUAUGGUCUGCAUGAGUUUGUUCUUGGUACUGUGAGUGUUCCUCCACAAUCAGUUGUUGAUAAGGAUGGUAAUCUUGUUCCCAAUCCUGAAUUCUUAUUUCAUAAACAGCAAGACAAGCUGUUAGCCUCUUGGUUGCUAUCUACCAUUUGUGAUGAGAUCCUGGUUCAUCUCACUGAUGCUCGGUCUAGUUUUGAUGUUUGGAAUACUGUUGUCCGUCGUUUCGUUUCGAAAUCCACUUUGACAGUCUCUACCUUGAGACACUCUUUGUAUUAUCAGAAAAAGGGCCAAUUAACUGUGAAAGAAUACUUGGCAAAGAUUAAGAGUUUGUGUGAUACUCUGACAGCUGCAGGAAAUAAUGUUUCUGAACAAGAGCAGAUUAGUAUUAUUCUUGCUGGUCUGCCUGUGGAGUUUGAGUUGAUUAGGAUUGUGGCUUCUGCAAUGAGGGUUUCCCUUGAUCUUCUUGCAGAAAUGCUCUCUGAUUGUGAAGCUCGACAACAAGAGUUAGUUUCAAACGUGUCUUUUCAGGCUAAUAUUGUUCAGCAGCGUGGUAGCACUGAUGACACCACCAGUAAAAGUGAUAGGGGGUCUCGACCAUCUUACAGAGGUAAUGGAAGAUUUUCUCGAGGCAGAGGUCGAGGAAGGAGGGAAAAGGUUGCUGCUGGACAGUUAACUGUGGGGCAUGUCCCAGCUCAGGAUCAAGUAGCAGAUAUUUUCACCAAGCCCUUGUCUGCUCCUAUGUUUACAAAAUUUCGAUCGUGUCUCAAAGUUGUUUCCAAACAAGAACCACCAGCAGAGGUCAAGUAGCCGGAGGCAUAUUAAGGAAUAAAGAAAAUAGUUAUGAUUACUGGUAGUUAAUAUUAGCUGUUAGCAGUUAAUUAGUUGUUAGCAGUUAGCUUGUUUAAUUCUGUAUAAACACAGCAGCUGGUUAUUCAGCUAGAUAUGAUUGAAUCAAUUCUUCCUUCCUUCUUCUUGAAUUCUCUUUCUCAUUAAAUGCAAUAUAUAAUGCUUCAUUUAUAUAUAUACUGAUUUUUGUCAGAUAUCGCAUUUACAAAAUGAAUAACAGUUGCUGACUUGCUGUCAACUCGAAAAAUCUCUUAAUCAAAGCUUAAUUAUGACACAAUUUCUCCUUCUUCAAUAUCAUCAUACAGAUCAUUGCCUUUGGUUUCGUCUUCCCUGUAGUCAUGUUUGAGGAACAAGCCUAGCCGAUGCAGCGGACUCGGACCCCAAAGAGAGCCUCCACGCAGAAUCAGGAGCUCCUUUUGUGUCUCCAAAUUCAAUCCCAGCUGUGUUUCUCAUCUUUUGCAAUGCAAUCCUAGCUGCUUCUCUACCUCGAUCCCGUAUUGUUUUCACAGCUUGGAUAUGAUCUUCAGUAUCCUCAUACAGAUCAGUGUCUUCCUAGUAGUCGUGUUUGAGGAACAAGCCUAGCCGAUGCAGUGGAUUCGGACCAGAAAGAGAGCCUCCACACAGAAUCAUGAGCUCCUUUUGUGUCUCCAAAUUCAAUUCAAUCCCGGCUGUGUUUCCCAUCUUUUGCAAUGCAAUCCUAGCUGCUUCUCUUUCUCGAUCCCGUAUUGUUUUCUCAGCAGCUUCGAUAGCUCGGAUAAGAUCUUGAACCUUUGCCUCCUCUUUACACAAUCUUCGUAACAACUUCUUUUCAUGUUGCUUCUUCACUCGAUCAGCCUUCUUCCGUGACAUUGGCAAGGGGAUAGUAGGAUGAGGAAAUGUUAUCAAGGCUUCACCAGAUGUCUCAUCUGUUACAGUUGCAGCAAUCUUAAGUUGAGAGAUGAGACGAGCAUUAUCCGAAGCACACUGUCGAUCAUACUCGCUUAUUGCCCUGCAUUUGUGUUGGAAAUCCGGUUAAUUGGAGGCAUCUGCAGCUGAUUUUCCACCCAUUGAUUCAUGGUCUGAUUUAGUUCACUGACACUUAAUGCUGCCACAUGAAUUGCAUUUGCAGGCUCCUUGGCUCGAUGGCAGUUCAGGGUCGCCAAUAGAUCGACUUCUACAAUUACUGGUCAUGUCUUUUCUUGCCAAUUUCCUAACAGGAUCCUGUCUCGGUUUAAGAAACUCAACCUUGUCCGAUGAAUUCAAUGGAACAGUUAGAUUUUGUGGAUUAUGAUGCCAAUAACCCUUCAAAGAUUUCCAUCUAGACUGAAGAAUGCCAUUCAGUUCUUGAUCAUCAAAUGUUUGAUGAUUCAAAAACCUGCAUGCAAUCGGAUAUUUCUUGUGAAUCAUGCAAGCGUCCAUCUUUUGCCUCUUUUUGUUCGGACCCCCGGUGGUCAUCCCUUCUCUGUAGACAGCACUUCUUGUGUGGUUUCCUUUUGCGGCAAGCUGAUGAAGAAUUCUGUUUUGGUUUUGCUAGAGAAAAUAAGAUAUUUUGUAAGUGGCGGCUAAAGAUGUGAAUGCUUAUGUUAAUCUCUCUUAAUUGACUGCAAAGUUUGCUUUUAACAGUAUAUGCUCUAAUUCUUAUCAAUUUAAAGCAAACAUAAUUUUGAAUAAGAGUAGUAAAUUAUUAUUUUUAUUUAAUAGAUUUAAAUUUAUUUUAUUUUUAAAUAUAUUAUUUUAUUGAAUAUUUUAAUAAUGAAACUGAGUUAUUAUUAUUAUUAUUAAUAUUUUAUUUGUAGAUUUUUUUAAAAAAUAUUAACCCCUUCAUUUACGUUUCAACUAACCCGAUUAAAAGUAUUUUAAAAAAAAACUAUAUUUUCCAUUUUAGUAAUUAAAAUAUCGGCGAAUGUUAAUUUUUUUAUAAGUUUAAAUUUAGAUAAUAUUUGAAUUCAAGUAUUCUAAUUAUUAUAUUUAUGGAUAAUAAUUAGUACUAUAUUUGAAUUUAUUAUUUAUUUUAUUUUAAAAUUUAUAUUUUAGUAAAUAUUUUAUUUAAUUAUAAUUCGUAAUAGUCAAAUGGUUUAGGUUUUUUUUUGUUCUUAUUUAGAUUUAAGAAAAGCAAAUCAAAGUUUAUUAUCUAUAAAAUUUAAUCAUUAUUGCAAUUUCUAAAAUAUGAUACGGAAAAUAUAUUACUAUAUAUGUAAUGUCAUGUUAGCUUGUUAUUUCUUCAUAUUACCUACUAAAAAAUAAGUUAAUGGAUUAACUGCUAUCAUUUGCGUCAAAACUAAAAUUUCAAAAUUUGAAAAAUAUAAAGACUUAAAAUGAUCAAAUUAGAGAAUAUGAACUGAAUAUACAAUUUUACACACAGUACAUGACUAGUAAUUAAAUUUAACUGUUAAUGUUUAGGUCAGGACUAAAAUUGACCAAUUCAAAAAGUAUAAGAGCUAAAAUUGACUAAUUUGAAAAAUAUAAAGACUAAAAUUUAUCAAAUUACAAUAUAAGAACUAAAUUUAUAACUCUCAAAAAAAUACAAGAACUAAUAGAAAAAAUUAUCAAUUUUAGUGUUCAUCCCUAUAUUAUACUCAAAAUUUUAUCUUUAUACUUUCUUUUUAUAUAACAAACACUUUAUAGUUUAUAAUUUGUUACCUAAAGUCUUCCUUACAUGACACAUGUCUAAGUGUUUUUUAAUAUAAUAAGAUAAUAGUUAAAUUUCAAAUUUGGUCUUUAUAAUAUGCUAAAAUUAGAUAUUUAAUUUCUAUACUUUAAUUUUUGACAUAAUUUGGUACUUUAACUUUUACAAUGUCAUUAGUUAGUCUAAAUACUUUAUUCCAAUUAAAAUGUUGAUUUGAAUUUUAAGAAUUGUUACUAUCAUUAAAAUUCUUUGUUAAAUUUAGGUCUAUUACAAUACUAUUUUUUUCACAUAACUACCAAGUAAGUAUUUUUUUUUUAAUUUCAAAAUUUAACACCAACGAAUUUAAUAGAAACAUUUUAAUGGUGUUAACAACUAGACCUAAAUUUUUAAAUUUGAAAACUAGAGAAACUAAAUUCUUAAAAAUAAAAAUUUAAAGACUAAAUUUCAAAUAUAUAAAAAAGAAUACAAUAACUUGAUGCAUAUUAUAAGUUUGUAACAUUUAAAUUUGUUACUUUAUAAUUUAACCUAAAAAAUCAACCCAAUGUGAAACAUGAGUAAAAAUCAUACUAGUUAGUGGGUGUUUGGUUCAUCGAAAAUAACAUUACGGACUAGAAUAUUACAUUUUGGAAUGAAAUUAUGAUGUUUGAAUUUUAAAAUUUUAGACAUCCAAUAAUCUAAUAUUAAAGUCAUACUAUAAUAUAGGAUGUAACAUCUUUUUUACAUAAUCUGAAAUUACGUGCAGAAUCUGAAUUUUAAGACAUUCACCCUCCUUUUCUUUUCCUUUCUGUUUCGGCCAUUACUCAAAGUAACUCCCCUAUUUCUAGUGAAACAAAAAUUUGUGAUAAUUGAUUUCAGUGGUGGUAAAACAUUUUUAUAUACGCACAACUAUCUUGCACAUCAAUUUAUAAUUUCGAUGAAACAUUCAAAAGUUGUAUAUUGACUAAAAUAGUGAGCUCUUUUUUUAUUGGACAAAUUGUUAAAAUAGUCUUUUUUUUUUUUUGUUUCAGGUUACGAUUUAAUUAUUUAUAUUCGAAAUGUUACCUUUUAGUCACUUAAAAUAUCAUGUUGUAACAUUUUAGUCAUUGAGCUGUUAAUUAUCAUUAACGGUGUAAUGGAAAGCUAGUAUGGCAUGUUAAAUCAUUAUUUCAAACGAAAAUUUUAGGUUAAAUUAUGCAAUUUGUCUUUAUAUUUUUUCAUUUUGAGCAAUUUAAUUUUUUUAUUUUAUAUUUUUUUAACUUUUUUAUUUUAUAUUUUUUAACUUUCCCUUUUUUUCUUUAUUAUCCAUUCUAUUAUGCUUCUCCCUCUAUUUUCCUCUCUUCUUCAUUUCUUUUAACGUAGUUUUUCUAUGUUUUCCAUUUGUUAAAACUAAUCCAUAAGCUCGCUUCACUCGAAAAAAAUUAAAUUGUUCAAAAAAAUAAAAAUAUAGGUACUAGUUUUAACAAAUAGAAAACAUAGAAAAACUAUGUUAAAAGAAAUGGAGAAAGGAGGAAAACAGAGGGAGAAGCAGAAGAGAAUGAAAAAUAAAUAAAAUAAAAGAAAUUUAAAAGGAAAUAAAAUAAAAAAUUAAAUUACUCAAAAUGAAAAAAUAUGGGGACCGAUUGUAUAAAUUAACCUAAAAUUUUUAUUUGAAAUGAUGAUUUAACGUGCCACGUCAGCUUACCAUUACACUAUUAACGAUAAUUAACGGCUCAGUGACUAAAAUGUUACAACGGGAUGACGUAAGUGAUUAAAACGUAAACCUGAGGUAAACAAAAGUGAUUAUUUUAAUAGUUUACCCUUUUUUUAUUUGAUUGCCAUAAUUUAGGCCGAAAAGUUGGUAUGCAUUACGUAACAACUAGUUCUUUAGUUGGUAUGAUUCUGUGCAAAAUAUAGUAAAACUUAUUUUUAAACAAUCUUACAAUUCGUCAACGUCUAAACAUUCGAAUUUUAUAUUCCAGCUAAAAGAACAGAACAAGGUAAUUUCACAUUUCACUCUUAAUAUUACAUUCUCAUAAUCUUAUUAUGAAACGUAAUCUAAGAUUCAGUGAACCAAACACCCCUUUAUAAUUAUUAUAAUUCUUUUUAAGUUCCAUCAUUUUAGUAUAGAAAGGGAGCCUACUCCCAAUUUCUACUUGUUUAAAAAAAAAAUUUUUUUAUCUACAUACUUUUCUCUCUCAUUUUGUUUUCUUGAGGUGAGCCAUUUUGAUGUCAAGCGAUGGCUUUGGGCCGUCUGCCCCGUCCCAUGCCCUUCCUUUUUAUGUUUUCUCUUCUCCUAAUGGCUAGUUGCAAACCUUAACAUUAGCAUCUGUUUGUUUUCCCUUUCUCUCCCUUCUUCCUCUUCUCUCCCUAUCACACCCGAUUAUCUUUAAGUCCCAAAAUCGAAGGAAAAUUAGGAUUAAAUUGAAUGGAUUGAUGAAUUUUCGGGUUCCAUUGGAAAUUUUAGAAAUUUUAGUGACCGAAUUGGGAUGGUUGGAUCACAAUUUUGGUUUAGUUAGUUUGGAACCAGUUAUCUCCUUAAUGGGAGACAAAACAAUUAGUAGUGAUUGGCUAUAAAGGAUUAAGGAGACUGUGCAAACUUUGGCUAUAUAUAUGUGUGUGUGGAGAAGAAAGAUUUCUCCUGAAUUUAGUUGGUAAUCUCAUUUUUAUUUGCAAUGUCUUCUUUGGGUGUUUCGAAAGAGAAGAGGAGGUUCAAGAAAGCUCUGCAUGAGAUGGUAAAUAAGGUGUUCAAAGCCUAGGAAGCCGAGAAUUCGACAAGCUGGUAAGCCCUAAGCCUCUCUGUACUCGUGGAUUAGAGGAAAGAGAAUAAAGAAUUCUCAAAAAGUUUUUGUAUAUUUAUAGAUUGUGGGUCUUAAGGUUUGAAUAUCUUCAAGUUAACCGAUAAUGGUUGUUAUGCUUAGUUGCUAGGCGAUGCAUCGUGAACUAACUAAAAAUUUGACUAAGGCAAGUGCACUUAUCAAUUAAUAGCAUAGCAACAGUGAACAAAAAUAUCGUUCCCACAAAAACUAAAAGUAUUAAUAAUUACCAUCUUUCUAUUAUUAUAUUGAAUAAUUCGAGUGAUCGAUUUAAAAACGGUGUGCCAAGCCGAGUAACUCUCUGAGUUGCCCCAUAUGCUCGUGUGUCAGGCCGUGUAUUGGAUCGUGUAACUUACUGACUUGAACCUUAAGAAAAUCCCAAAUGACACACGGUCGUGUCACCAGAUCGUGUGCCUCACACGGCUGAGUCUCACGUCUGUGUCUCAGAUCGUGUGAACCUAAAAAUUUACCUAAAACCAAGCCAUUUCAGACCAUUUCAUGCAUAAACUUUCAAACCAUUUAAGCACACUUUAAAAGGAACUUGUAAUACCCCUAACCCAUAUCUUUCGCUGGAACAGGGUUACAGAGUAUUACCGAAAUUUACAGAUCAAAUGCAGACAUUUAAUAUCUUUUAAAUUUCAUAUCAGAAACUUAUCAUAAUUAAUCAUAUUGUCCCUUUUAUGAGCCCUCGAGGCCCAAAAUAUGAAUUAGAAACAAAUCGGGACUAAACUGGGUACUCAAAGAAUUUUUCGUAAAAUAUCAAAAUUUUUCCAAGGUGCAAAGGACACACACCUGUCUAGUCAGGCCAUGUGGGCAUUCAAAAUAGAGGCACACGGCUAUGUCUCAGCCGUAUCCAAAUUAGGGUACUCUCUGACUUGGGUCACACAGCCAAGCCACACGCCCGUGUGCUAGGCCAUGUAAGCAUAUUGACUUGUAUUAAAUAGGUGCAAUGGUCACACGACCAAGCCACAAGCUCGCGUGCCAGGCCGUGUGAAAAAUUUUGAUUAUUCCUUUUUGCAAUUUAAAUGAUGUAGGGGACACAUGGCUAAAACACACGCCUAAGUGCUAGGCCGUGUGUCACACACGACUCAGUGUCUCUGCCCAUGUGGAUGAAAAUAGGUCAUUUCCAAGCCACAUUUCUCACCCAAAUUUGGCAUCAACCUAACACAAUAAUUUGCACAUUCACAAACCAUAUCAAAUCACUCAAAACAAGCCAAAAUCAUGUCUUAAACAUGACAUAUUACCACAUACAACCAAAACAUUUACAUUCCAACAUUGGCUAAUUAACCUAUACAUGCCAUUAUAACCAAAAUUAAUUUUCUAUUUAUACCGAAAUAAGCUGAUGGAUAAUGUGAGAUAUCUCUACCAAGCUUCCAAUCAAAUGAGCUUCCGAAUUACUAUAAAACAGGGACAAUGAAAUAGAGUAAGCUUUAAAAUUUAUUAAGUUCGUAUAACCUAAAAUUUAACUUACCAUUUAUCAUUUAAGGUAAGCAAACUAAAUAUACUCAAACCAAUUUGACCAAUUGCCUAACACAUAUCCUCAUCAACCAUGUUAGUCAUGUAUUUCAUAGAAAUAUCAAGAAAUAUAUAUGAGCUCAAUAAUAAUCAAAUUGUCACAUACAUAAAUUUUCCACAUCAUGUAUCCAUAUAACAUGUACAAAUCAUUUCCAUGUACUUCAGAUAUAUUCGGGUAAUAGUUCAUUUCGAAUCCAUGUUAUCUCAUAUUAGAACUUUGCCUAUUACACUUUUUAAAAUAUCGAUAGAUACACGGGUAGUACACAUACAAAACUGUAAUCCGACAAUUCAUGUAUUAUCUGUCAAUUCAUAUUUGGGAAUACUCAUCAGAGCACAUAAACGGGAAGCUCUUCUGAUCUAUAUAAUGGGAAGCAAAUGUGAGUUAUAUAACGGGAAGCUCCAAAGAUCCAUUAAUCAGGAAGCUCGUGCGAGCCAUAUAUCGGGAAGCUCCGGAGAGCCAUUAGUCGGGAAGCUCAUAAAAAAGCCUUUAAUUGGGAAGCUCCGGAGAGCCAUACUUCAGAACGCUCAUAAGAGCUGCGGUGUGUCCACAACACGUGCAUAAUCAAAACCAAUCAGGAUGCUCCAAAUAGCUAUUAACGUGAAACUCAUGAAAGCCAUAUAUCGGGUAGCUUAAGUGAGCUAAUAUCGAAAUGCUCAUGAAAGAUAAUAACGGGAUGCUCUUGCGAGCUGUGGUAUGUUUGCAACUUAUGUAGGACUACAACCAAUUUGGGAACCCUGUAUCCAUCAAAUUUUUAUUUAUUCAAACAUGACUUAAUACUUGUCGGUCAUCAUCAGAUAUGUAAUUAAUUUCAUAUACAUGGAAAUUUAUACAAAUCACACUCAACAAUAUUCAAGUUAAAACAUAUAAAUGUAUAAUUUAGUUACACAAACUUACCUCGACAAUGUUCGUGUACAUAAAAGCUACUAAUCCGUUACUUUCUCUUUUACACGAUCUAACUCCGUAUUUGAUCUAUCCGGAUCUACACGAAUGAAUUUAACAUCAAUUUUUAUUCAAUUUUAUUCAAUUCACAUCUUUAGCAAAAUUAUCAUUUUGCCCCUAUACUUUUAAUUAAUUAAGAUUUCGUCCUUAGGCUCUAAAAAUGAAAUUCAUGCAAUUUAAUCCUUAUUCCAAGCCUAGCCGAUUUUUACAUGUAACAAUAACAGCCCAUGAAUUUCAUAAAUUUUAGAAUUUUCCUUAAAUUUUCCAUCUUUUCAAUUGAGUCCUUUAAUCACAAUUUUAUCAAAAUUCUCUUUACAAAAGUUAUUUAUCUAUCAACAACCUUUCAUUUUCUACCAUAAAACUUCAUAAUUCAUACAUACGCAUCCAUGGAAAAACCUUAGUACUUUGAUAAUUUUACAAAUUAAUCCCCAAGAUAGCUAGAUUAAGCUAUUAUAAUGUCGGAAACAUUAAAAUUAUUAAAACGGGACAAGAAUACUUAUCCAAUUAAGCCAAAUAAGCUUGCUCAAAACUCAACACCAUAGCUAGGGUUUCCAUGUCUUUAAUUUUAGGAAAGAUGAUAAAUAUGAUGAUAUUUUUAUUGUUUAAUCAUUUAUCAUCUUUUCUUAUUUCAACUUUCCAAUUUAAUCCUUUUUUUAAUGAAUUUUCCAAUGAUGACUAAUCAUACUUAUCUACUAACUCCACUAAUUGGUCUAUUUGCCAUAUAAGGACCUCAAAUUUUGAAUUCCAUAGCUAUUUGAUCCCUUUAACUACUAGAAUUCAAUUUUUGCACCUUAUACAAUUUUUUCCUUUACAUCUAAUUAUACAUGUAACCGAUAAAUUUCUUUACGAAAUUUUCAUAUGAUAUUUAAAUCUUAAUGCGGACCAUGAAAUAAUAUUAAAAUAAUUAUUCUUCUGGACUCGAAUUUGUGGUCCCAAAACUACUGUUUCGAUUUCACUGAAAACGAGCUGUUACAGAAUUAAAUAUCACCCAAACACACAUCAAAAUGCCAAUUCAAGAUCCUAAUUUCAUGCAUACAAUCCUAGUCUAUUUAAGUACUAAAACAUACCUCAUUUAGCCAUUUAUAAAACAUACAAAAGAUACCAUAAAAUACCAUUAUCAAGCUAUUACAAACAUACCAAAAGAACCUUACAUACAUGCACUUUUAAGUGACCAAAAUGACAUACUUUGGUAAAACAUUGCAAACUACCCAAAGCAACAUAAACAUCAAAACAUUAACAUCCAAAUCAACAUUACAUAACAUCCUACACAUGUUAUUAUAAGCUUUGGCCACAGUACUUAAAAACUACCAAAUUGUUUGCUGGAUAGUGUGAUAGUUCUCCGACAAGCUUCCAACCAAAUUGAGCUUCCAAUAAUCUAUAAAAUAAAGGAAAACAACUACAUAAGCAAUGAAUGCUUAGUAAGCUUGUAUAAACCAAAACAUAACUUACCAUUUCACUUGCAUAAUAUAAAGCAUAAGUAAAAAAUCAACCAAAACCAUAAGCUUGGCAUAAGCCUAUAAAACAUCAUCAAAAUCACAAGUUAGUACUAUUGUAUAUGGUUCAAAUGAAUUCAUCUAUAAACAAGUAGAUUUACACAUAUAAUCUCAUCAUUUGGUUCAUAAUUCCUUUUAAUAAGCUCAUGAUAUGUUCCAUUUGAUACUUACCAUUUCGUUCCUUUUCAUACUCGUUGAACCAUCUAGAAUUACAUUGGAUACACGAGAAAGCUCAUACAAAGUGUGCCUGUACAUAUAACGUAACCUUUCCUUUAUAUCAUUGCUCACACGAGCUGUGAAAUGGGUCUGCUCACACAAGUUAUGGGUUAAAAUGUAAGCUACACAAUACUGCUCACACGAGCUGUAGAGAAUCCACAACAAAUGCAGGACUUCAGCCAUUAGUAGGACAUUCAAGACUAGCACUCGAAAUGUAACAGCCCGUUUUCAGUGAAAUUAGAACAGUGAUUUUGAGACCACAAAAUCGAAGUCAAAAAAAAUUAUUUUUAUUAUUAUUUUAUGGUCUACGGUAUGAUAGAAAUACCAUAUAAAAAUUUAGUUAAGAAAUUUUACUGUUUACAUGCUUAAUUUGAUACAAAAGACUAAAAAUGCGUAAAGUGCAAAGGUUGUGUUCUAAUAUCUAAAGGUAUUAAAUAGCUAUAGAAUUUUACAUUGGAGGUCCUUAUAUGGUAAUUAGCUAUUAAAGUUGUUAAUGGAUAUUUGUUUAAAAGUAAACAAAAGAUCCAUAUUAUUAUUAAAAAAAAAAUCCAAGCCGAUUCAUAAACAAGUGUACUAUUAUUUAUGGAAUUUCUUCUAAAUUGAAGUUAAGAAUUGCAAGGUAAACAUUUAUUUUCUUUCUAAUAAAACAAUUCCUUACAUUACUUUUCUUUUAUUUCUAAUCAAACAUUUCCUUAAUAUUGAUAAAUAUUUCCAUAUAAAUUUGCAUGUUUAUCGAUUCAUUAGAUUGUCAUUCAAUUUAUUUUUCCUUGACACUUAAAGUAUUAAAAUUGUUUCAAACAUUUAAGUCGGUUUCGAGUUUGAGUGUCGGAUAUGAGAAUGUGUCUGAUGCAAAUAGAUUUUAUUUUAAAGUUUUUUAAAUAUAUGUAAAGGACUUUGAAUAUCUUGUCCUCAUACUUUUAUACCAAAAACUAAAUUCAAAUAAAAAAAAAGUAACAUAAGAGCUGGUUCUAUAAUACAAUUCCAUGUUUUGAACAUUUUAAGCAUAUUGGAGCUAAUAAAAGAAUCUUGAAAUCAUACAAUAAGAUCCAUAAUCUGAUCUCUCAAAUGCUUCAUUUGUAUGUAUAUUGAUUUUUGUCAUAGUUUGCAUUUACAAAAUGAAAAACAAUUGUUGUCAUCUCGAAAAAUCUCUUAAUUAAAGCUUGAUUAUGACGCAAGCUCUCCUUCUUCAAUAUCAUCAUAUAUAUCAUUACCUUUGGUUUCAUCUUCUGUGUAAUCGUGUUAGAGGAACAAGCCUAGCCGAUGUAAAGGAUUCAAAGCCGAACGAAAGCCUCCACACAAAAUCAUGAGCUUUUUUUGUCUCCAAAUUCAAUUCAAUCCCAAAUGUGUUUUCCAUCUUUUGCAAUACAAUCUUAAAUGCUUCUCUUUCUCCACCCUGUAUAGUUUUUGUAGCUCAGAGAUCAUCUUUAAUAUCUUUAUAUCGAUUAGUGUCUUUCGAGUAGUAAUGUUUGAGGAAAAAACCUAACUGGUGCAGCAGAUUCAGACCAGAAAAAGAGCCUCUACAAAGAUUCUCGAGCUUCAUUUUUGUCUCUAAAUUCAAUUGAAUCCUAGCCAAGUUUUCCAUUUUUGCAAUGCAAUCCUAGUUGUGUCUCUUUCCCGAUCUUGUAUUAUUUUCUCAGCAGUUUCGAUAGCUCGGAUAAGAUCUUGAACCUUUGCCUCCUCUUUACACAAUCUUCGUUACAACUCCUAUUCAUGUUGCUUCUUCACCUAAUCAGCCUUCAUUCGUGACAUUGGGAAGGGGAUAAUAGGAUUAGGAAAUGUUAUCAAGGCUUCACCAAAUGUCUCAUCUAUUAUCGUUGUAGGAAUCUUAAGUUAAGAACUGAGACGAGCAUUAUUCAAAGCACAAUUUCGAUCAUGCUCACUAUUUACGUCGGAAAUCUGGUUUAUUAGAGGCAUUUGCAGCUGAUUUUCCACCCAUUGAUUUAUGAUCUUUUUCAUUACACUGAUACUUAAUGAUGCCACAUAAAUUGCAUUUGCAGGCUCCUUGGCUCAAUGGCAGCUCAGGGUCACCAAUAGAUCUACUUCUACGAUUACUGGUCAUGUCUUUUCUUGCUGCUUGAGUACUAUAGUGCGCUAAGAAGUUAUAAAAUAAAAGGUUAACCGACUUUAGAGAGUUGGUGUAACAUUACUUGUAGGUCCUAGGUCUUCUGUAGUGGGUGUGUUGGGCUCAUUGAGUUCCCAACAAGUUGUAUCAGAGUGGAUGGUUCAGGCAUGUCACUUGUGGAGGAAGUUUUGGUAAGCACUGGGCGCUUACGUUGGUUGGUUUGUCAUAAAGACACUACAGGGAGACUCUGCCAGUGUACAGUCAAAGGCUGUGAAGCUCAUUGGUCGAGGACCACAUUUACUUGAUGACGGGUGCCAGUCACCAUGGUAGAUCUUGCGGCAAGAGCAAUGGAAUCAAUAAACUCAAUAACCACAACUAUGGCUAUUGGCAGACUUGCAUAAAGUUCUACCUACAGGGUCAGGAUUUAUGGAAAAUAAUCACUGGUACUGACACAACUCCUCUACUGAAGGAAAAUGUUGAAGCCUUGAGAAAAUGGAACAUCAAGGUUGGAAGGAAUUUAUUUGUAUUGAAGACCAUAAUCAAUGAGGACUUAUUGGAGUAUAUUUUUGAAGAUACGACACCGAAAGCAGCCUGGGAAACUUUGGCGAAAUUAUUUUUGAAAAAGAAUGAGCACACCUUCAAUUCUUGAAAAAUGAGCUUGCAGGUAUCUCAUAAGGAAACUUAACCAUUUCUCAGUAUUUCACUAAAGUGAAAUCUAUUUUUUGUGAGAUAUCUCAAUUUGCACUGGAGGAGAAUGUAAGUGAAGUAAUGAUGAAGAGAAUUUUCAUCCAUGGCUUAAUACCUCAGUAUAAUAGGUUUAUGGUUGUUAUAAGGGGAUAGCCUACUCAACCAUCCUUAGUGAAAUUGGAAAAUCUGUUGGCUAAUCAGGAGGCAUUAGCCAAAGAGAUGAGUGGAGUAAUAACCAUAAAAGACGAAGAUGAGGCACUAUACACAUGCAAGAAGAAUGGCACAUCUCGAAGGUAAGGAGUGGGGAAGGAAAGGUGGACACAAGAAGGCAAUAUUCAUCUAAAAGAGAGAAAUAACACUUUAGGGAGAGCUCGACAUGGAAGAGAAGACUAACCCCAACAACAUGGUUUCAAUUAUGGCAAGAAGGGCCACUUUACUCGAGAGUACAGAUUCCCCAAGAGUCAGACUUUUCAAGGAAAUAUGGCCACCAUAAAAGAGGAGAAGAAAGAGGUCAUGUUAGAGGCAUCCAUCAAUGAGGAAGAAUAAGAUGCAGAAGCUGAAUUUUUUGUUGGAUUGGAUCAAGAACAGUUGAAGGAAGACAUAGAGGAAUCAACUAUUGUAGCAAACACAGAUUCAAAGAUACACUAUAUGAAAGAUUGGAUCGUCGAUUCUGGGUGCUUCAAUCAUAUGACCAGUGACAAGAAGAAGCUGCAAGACAUGGCUGAGUACAAAGGAAUGAGAGUGGUGUUGACAACCAACAAUUUAAAGUUGUCUAUUUCUUAUAUUGGGAAGACAACACUUCUAAGUUUUAGCUCUCGUUAGCUCUAACUCGAGAAGGUUUAUCUAGUCCCUGGCUUAAAGAAUAAUUUGUUGUUAGUACCUCAACUGAUAGAAACAAGAAAUUAUGUGCUCUUUGGGCCUAAAGAUGUGACUGUAUUUUGAAAAGUGAAGGUGAUUGGCACACCUAUUAUGAAAAGAAGAAGAACAGAUUCAGGUUAUGUGUUAUUUUCAGAGUCGGCAUAUGUGGACAAUACUCAGAAGAAUGUGACAACUAAUUUUCGGCAUGAGCAUCUUAAUCAUGUAAGUUACAACAAGUUGAAAAAAAAGAUGAAUAAUUACAUAUUAAGAGGACUUUCUCAAGUAUACAUUCGAAUAGAUAUAGUCUGUGCCGGAUGUCAAUUUGGCAAGGAUCACCAAUUGUCAUUCAAGGAGUCAGAGAAUCAGUUCAAGAUCCCACUAAAGCUUAUACACUCAUAUGUCUUUGGCCUAGCAAAACAAUCGUCACUUGGAGGUAUAAAGUAUAUGGUGACAUUUAUCGACAACUUCUCAAAUGAAAGAAAAGUAAAAGACUUUUAUGAAGUUCAAUGAGUUUAAGAAGAAGAUAGAGAAUGAAUUCAAUAAGAAAAUUUAGUGCCUAUGCACUGACAAUGGGAGAGAAUAUCUAUCUAUUAAGUUCACUAUCUAUCUUAAGAAACACAAGAUCAAACAAAAAUUAACUUGCCCCAAUACUCCAUAAUAAAAUAGAGUGGUAGAGCGCAAGAAUCGUCACCUUCCUGAAACUUGUCGAAGCAUGCUUCAUUCUAAGAAUGUACUAGAAAGAUUCUAGGCCAAAUGUAUGAGAAUGAAAACCUAUAUGAUUAAUAGGUUACCAUAGCUAAUCUGGGAUUCGUCUCACCGUAUGAAAUACUAUGGAAGAUCAAGCCAACUAUCUGCCAUCUCAAGGUAUUUGGCGAUGUAUGCUACGUUUUCGUGCCAAAUCACGUAAUGAAAAAAUUUGAUAAUAAGGUAAUUUGGUGUAUCUUCGUUGGCUAUGAUGGUGCACGGAAAGGUUGGAGAUAUUGUGAGCUAACCAUUAACAAGUGCCACACUUCAAGAAAUGCGGUGUUUGAUGGAGCUUCUUCAUGGUGGUCACCUCAGAAGAUCAAGCUUUCGAAAUCUCAUGCCUUAGAUGAGGUUCUAGAAGAAAAUAAAGAAGAAGGUAAAGAGAAAGCAUUAGAUCCAAGUGAAGAAAGAGAAAGCUCACUUUCUAAGGAAAAGAGUUCAUAGAAGACCGGCAUACAUCAACCUAUAUCUGAGCAGCUUCGUUUAAGACAAACGGAAGUCAAGAAGCCUACAAAAAAAAUUACAAAGAUCAACAAAGCUAAGGCAACCUAACCCAAGGUAUGCCAACACUACCCUUAUAGAUGAGUCUAUACCUAUUGAGCCAUAUACUUAUAAAGAAACUGCACAAAGCCUUGAGUGGAAAAAAGCUAUGGAAGAAGAGAUUAAGGUACAAAAAGAAAAUCAAACAUGAAACUUAGUACCAAAGCUAAAAUAUGUGAAGCCAAUAUCGUGCAAAUGGGUUUACAAUGUGAAGACUUGACCAGAUGGCUCAAUUGAAAGGUAUAAGGCUCGAUUUUUUGCUCGGGUUUUCUUUCAACAAUAUGGGUUAGAUUAUGAAGAAACAUUUAUCCCGAUGGCAAAGACCAUAACUAUCAAGUCUUACUAGAAUUGGCCGCUAGAAAGUCUUGGAAGUUGUGGCAGAUGGAUGUCAAGAAUGCUUUCUUACUUGGAGAACUUGACAAGGACAUUUACAUGGGAUAACCAAGAGGUUUCGAGAAUAAGAUCCAUUCCGAGUAUGUUUACAAACUGAAGAAAGCACUCUACAGCUUAAAGCAAACUCCAAGAGUAUGGUACAGGAAGAUCGGUGAGUUCUUAAUACAAAGUGGUUUUACAAUUGCUUCUUCAUAUUCGAGUUUAUUUGUGAAAGCAAAUCAAGGAAAACUAGUCAUAGUGCUAGUAUAUGUGGAUGACUUAAUCAUCACGGGAGAUUAUUGUGAGGAAAUCUAGCAAACAAAGGAAAAUAUUUCUAUUAGAUUUCAUAUGAAAGAACUAGGAAAACUAAAACACUUUUUUGGACUUGAAGUAGAGUGCACAAAGGAAGGAUUAUUUUUAGGCUAACAGAAAUAUGCAAAGGAUCUUCUACAGAGGUAUGGGAUGCUUGACUGCAAGCCUAUCUCCAUUCCACUGAUCCCAAUAUAAAACUACAAGUAGAUGAAGGAAAACAUUUAAAAGAUGUAAUCAUAUAUCGAAAACUGGUCAGAAGUCUUAUCUAUAUUACUCUAAGCUGACCAAACAUAACUUAUGCAAUUGGAAUGGCUAGUCGAUACAUGAGUAAUCCUAAGAAGCAUCAUCUCGAUGCAGUACGACACAUCCUAAGGUUUGUUAAAGGAACCAUUAAUUUUGGUAUUUUAUACAAGAAAACUAAAAAAUGUCUGGUGGUUGGAUAUUGUGACGUUGACUAUGCUGGAGACUAUGAUAUGUGUAACGUAUAGGUUUGUGCAAGUGUACAUAGUCAUUAUCAAUUAAUAAGUAAGUAAAAGAGUUAUUGUCUCCAUAGGGACUAUAUAUGUCAAUCAAAUAAUUGCAAAAUUAAAUAUUUACAAGUUGGUAAGAAAACACAAUAAUUUGGGGUGAUUGAUUUAAAAUUAAAUGAAUUAACUAGAUACAAAUUAACUUAAAUAAAUAUGAGAUGAUAAUGCAGUGAGAUGGUUUAGUAGUAAUUUCACAGGUUCAACAAGAAUAACAUGAAUAAGCUAGAAUAAUUACAACAUUUGACUUAAUUCAUUUUCAUCUUGUUUAAUAAUGUUUGGAAAAUAUUCCAUGGCAACUCGAUCAUUCAUUAACUAGGAAUCUUAUAUAAGUUCAACCAAAUCUUAUACCUAGAAAAAAAUGCAUAAACCAAUUUCAUGAUUUAAAUAAGGGUUUCUUAGAAUUUAUGUGAAGUAAUAGGGAUGGAUUAGGUUUGAAACAAUUUAAUCACAUAAACCUAAAGUUAUGCAAGCUAAUAAGUUCUCUUAGUCUAUUACGAACCUUUAAUUUAAUUACAUUAGGAUAUAAAUUAAGCAUGCACCUUCCAAUUAUUGUGUCCAUUAAUCGUCAUCUGAUUAGGAUCAAUCAACUAAUUCUAAUGCAUUCAAACAUAUUUUAAUACAUGAAAUACAUACAUGAUUUUAAUUAGAAGAAUGAACAACUUGAGGCUCAAACAUCAUAAACAUGAAUCAAACAGAUUCCAUCAAAUUAAUGUAAUCAUUCCAACUAAAACAAGAUUAAGCUAUCAUUGUCAAUGGAAAAACAUCAAAACAAUUUGCAAAAAUAUUAAACAACUAAGAACAAAAAUAAAGAUUAAGUAAGAAAAACUCUUUGAUGGCUUCGGCGGUUCUUGGCUUUGGCGGUUCUUCGACGACCAAUCAUGGUGGCUUCCUCCAAUUUUUGUGUUUGCUCCUUCGCAAAAUGCUCCUCAAGGUGGCCGGCCAAGAGUGGUUUUCCUAAAGGGAAAUGCUAGCUAAAUAAUAUGGCAAAUGGGAGUGAUAUGUAUGGAAGUGAGAAAGAAAAUGAAGGUAGAAAUGAGAGAGGAAUGAAUGAUGAGGGAUGCUUGAGAAGUGAAAUGAAUGUGAUAUUUAUAGUAGAGGGAGAGCUUGGAAGUUUGAUAAAAAUAGCAUAAACAUCCCUUGAAUUCCUCUCAUGCAUGGUCGGCCAUGAAUUGUGGAGAGUGGGUUGAUUUUUUCAUGAUUUCUUUUGUAACACCCCCUACCCGUAUCCGUCGCCGGAAUAGAGUACGAGGCAUUAUCGAGAAGCAUGAAACACUUACAGAUAAUUUAAAUACAUUUUCAUAACAAUUUGUUUCGAUUUCAUACUAUUUCAUAUUUAAGCUUUAUUCACCAAAGUAUUUAAGCUUUAUUCACCAAAGUAUUUGAAAUAUCAUCUUUAUGCAAAUAGCACACAUGAGGUACAUAAUUCCAUAAUUGUGAAUGAACACAUUUAUCAAACAUAUUCCAUGUUUUUAUAUAUAUAUCAUAGUUUCAUAUUUCUAUGUAUCAAUUACCAUCAUUUUCUCGUAUUUCAGACAAAUACGUAUAACAGUUCAUAAAUAUGCAAUUCAUUAACUCUUCCUACCAACCACGAUUUAAAUUGCCAAAUCACUUAUUGAGCCCAAUUUUAAUGUUCACUAAAAUCUAUCAUAUAAAUUUGGAUGUACGUAUUCAUCAAUAAAUUCCAUUCUCAUAUUUCCAUAUACAUUUACUUUCCACAUUUAUGAAUUCAAAUAGCAUAUACAUGACAUACCAAUGUAUUUCAAGUACGUUUUCAUGAUAUUUCAUUUCGAACUCAGAUUAUUUCAUACUAGAAGUUUUCUCAUUAACUCAUUUAGAAUACCAAUUCAUACGGAUAAUACACUCAAGGCGUAGAAAUAUAUAAUCACAAAUGAACUCAUUCAUCAACCAAGUUUUAUGCUCAUGUCUCAUCAACUCGUAUUUCCUUAUGUCACAUAAUUCCAUGUAAUACUUACCAAACUUCUUCAAAUUAGUGAACAUCUUACGGAAUUGAGUACUUCGUUUUCUCGAUGCCAUAGUUCAACUAUGGUUUUACACAUCUUCACAUAAUGAUGCCAUAGCCCAGCUAUGGUUUUACACAUACUCAUAUAUCGAUGCCAUAGCCCAGCUAUGGUCUUACACGAAUCACAUAUCUCACUGAUGCCAUAUCCCAGAUAUGGUCUUAUACAGUAGCAUAUAUCAUACCGAUGCCAUAUCCCAUAUAUGGUCUUAUACGGAAAUCACUUGUCACUUGUAGUCGAAGCUACCACUAUUCACUGAUCAGGUAGCCAGAGCUACCAUUUUUCACUGAUCAGGCAGCUAGAGCUACCACUUUUCACUGAUCAGGUAGCAGAAGCUACCACUUUUCACUGAUCAGGUAGCCGAAGCUACCACUUUUCACUUGUUAUUUGUCAUUGAUCAGAUAAGUGUAGCCGAAGCUAUCACUUAUCACUUGUUUCCAUGGUCCAACCAUGGUAUUUUCCUUCAAUUCAUCUUGUCACUGAACUGAAAUGCUCAAUUUGAUCAUUUAUUCAAUUUUCAUGCUUUUACAUUAUUCACGAUUUUAUCAUCAAUACAUAUGAAAUAACACAUCAUGAAAUUCAUAAAAUUAACAAAUGAUCACUAAAAUUUAGCCAUAUAAACUCAGAAGUUUGAUUUUUGUAUUAUAACGAUAAUCAUAAUUUCAUAAUAAAUAUUCGAAAUAAAUCAUUAUAUUAUUUUUAAUUCAACACUUAUCGAUUAUAAUCGGGCAUGUGAUCAAUUUAUACACGAGUCAUUUAUAUAUAUAUGUAUAUUUUCCUCCUCCUCCUCUCCAUCCACAUCCUUAGUAUAAAUAACACACUUGUGAGUAACCUUAUCCAUAAUUUUCACUAAUUACUUAUGUGAAUAUUCAAGCUAUCCACCCGUGUCAUAGUCACUAAAUUAUUUAUAUCUGAAGCUACAGAACUCCAAAUUGAGGUCACUAAUUUUCCCUAAAACUAGACUCACAUAUCUUCUUACCAUAAAAAUUCCAUAAUUUUUGGUUGGGCCAAUUAAUACAGUUUAUUCAUUGAAGUCUCCCCUGUUCUGCUGUCUGAUAGUUCCAACCCUUCUUCACUAAAAAUUAAUUAUCUCCUCGUACAAGACUCAAAUGAUGUUUCCAUUUGUUUCUCUUGAAAAUAGACUCAUUCAGGAUUCUAAAAAUAUAAAUUUAAGCCCAUAAUUAUUUUUAUCCAAUUUUUUAUGAUUUUACAAAGUCAGAACAGGGGAACCCAAAAUCAUUCUGACCUUGUCUCACAAAAUUCAUCAUAUCUCAUGAUUUACAAUCUCAUUGCUUACAUAAUUUCUUCUAUAAGAAACUAAACUCAAUAAGCUUUAAUUUCAUAUUUUAUUCAUCCUCUAAUUCCAUUUCUACAAUUUUUGGUGAUUUUUCAAAGUUAGACUACUGCUGCUGUCCAAAACAGUUUUAGUGCAAAAUGUUGAUUUCCAUUAUACCCCAAAUUUCACAAUUCAUACAAUUCAGUCCUUGCUCAAUUAACCCCUCAAUUAAGAUAAUUUUAUCAAUUAAUACUUUUCCUAGACAUUAUAAGUUAUUUCAUAAAUUUUGAAAUUCAUAAUUUCCACAUAAAACUCUAACUUCAAACUCUUUUACAAUUAGGUCCCAAACAUUCACUUUCUAUUCAAUUCUUUCAAAAAAAAUCAGCAUAUAAACAAUUUGAAGCUCUAAUUCCAUGCCAAAUCAUCAUAUGCUUCCAGCACAUAUUCAUAGCAACUUUCAAUUUCUUUCAUAGAAUCAAAAACUAAUGAAUUCAACAAGUGGACCUAGUUGUAAAAGUCAUAAAAACACAAAAAUUUCAAGAAAUAAUCAAGAAUUGAACUUACUUGAAGUAAAAAAUAUGAAAAACCAGCUUAAGGUAACUCUUCCAUGGCGUUUUUGCUGAUGAUAAUGCAGAAAAAUAAAGAGAAAUCUAGAUAAUUCCACUUUAGUCCUAGCUUUAUUAAGUAAAUUUUGCAAUUUUCCAAUUUUGCCCUUAAUUCUCCUUAUUUUCUUGCUGAUUUCAUGCUCUUGCCGUCCAGCCCAAAUAUACCUUGGGUCUAUUUUCCUUUUAAACCCUCUUUCUUUUAUCAUUUAAGCUAUUUAAUCAUUUCCCACAAUUUUGCAUUUCAUACAAUUUAGUCCUUUUUGUUCAAUUAACUAUCAGAACUUUAAAAUUUCUUGACGAAACUUUAAUACUAACUUAUUAACACUCAUAAAUAUUUAUAAAAAUAUUUAUGGCUCGAUUUAAAAUUUUUGAGGUCUCGAUACCUCGUUUUCGAUUCUAAUUAUUUUAGUAUUUAUUUUUAGUACACUAUUCACUAUUUCAAAAUUUUUCCUAACUUCACAUUUAACUUAUACUCACUAAAUUAAUUAGAUUUCCUACUCAUUUUUCGGAUUUAGUGAUCUCGAAUCACUGUUCCGACACCACUGAAAAUUAGGCUGUUACAUCUUUGUUUGAUUCUUACUUGAUUUGUGGCAUGGGUUGGACAACAAUCAAAGAGACUUUUGGGCUAAUUUGUAAUUUUUUCACACAUAUAGGGAUAUUCCCCCAACUGUUCCAAAGCUGGCUUGGGCUUCUCUUUCAUGCAUUUGCCAAAUUUGGAUUUUUUCCCCUUAUUGGACAGUUUGGCAACCCAAUUUACAAGCAGAUUAAUUUUUUUCAGUAACAAUCUUUAGGCUGGGUCAAGGCAAUAUUUUUUAGCCUAAUUCUUCCUUUAGUCGUCCAUAUGAAGUAGACUAUAGCUAAUUUACAUGUGAAUUUGUUGACUCCUACAUGAAUUAAUUCAGUGGUCCAACUGCAGCAAAUUGAGUAAAUAUUAACAUGUAGCAUAAAAUAAUAAAAUGAUGUAAAAUUAAUACUAAAUUAUAUAAAAUUACAAACUUUACUAAAAUUAUGUCUAAUGUUUAAAUAUGAACUAAAAUGACUCAAUUAUCUAUCCACAUGCUCGAAAUUCGCAUAGAUUAUAAGUAAAAAGGUGUUAAAUAAACCUAUAUAAUUUAAACAUUACAAUAUGCGACGAAUGACAAUUGGGUACAUCUUCAGCCUUGGAUCAGGAGCAAUAUCAUGGUGUAGCAAGAGACAACCAACAUUGUCAUUGUCAAGCACCGAAGCAGAAUAUCGAUUGGCGGCAUCAGCAAUGCAAUAGGGUACUUGGCUGAAACAAUUUAUGGAAGAUCUUCAUCAGUUAACAAAGUAACAAGUACAGCUUCUUUGUGAUAAUUUAUCAGCCAUACAUCUAGAAGAGAAUCUAAUCUUUCAUUCAAGGACAAAAUAUAUAGAAGUACACUAUCAUUAUAUUCGUGAAAAGGUCAUUGAAUGGGAGAUCAAGAUGGUGCCAAAAAAGAUGAUGAGCAAGUUGCAGACAUAUUCACGAAGAGUUUGAGUAGACCAAAGUUUGAGAAGUUCAGAGAAGCAUUCGGUAUAAUCUAUAAAUCAUCUGUGGAAGUUUACAUUGAGGGAGAGUUUUGAAAGCCACUACAAUUUCUAGAUAAAAGCCAAACUAACCUUUAAGAGAUAGUUUCUUUGGAAUAUUAUAGAAUAUAAAAUAAAGAAAUAGGAUAUUAUCUAGAAGACUAGAUAUUAUACAUGAACAUUCUAGUUAUUAGAUAUUUGUAAAAUUAAUGGUAAGGAUGUUGACAAGUGUCAACAAUCCAAUGGCGACUAAACUCUAUAAAUAGGGGUAGGAGCUUUCAUUUUUGUAAGUGUGUGCAAUAGAGAAGUGUGCGUCAUAUUGUAAUUGUAUUAUGUAUUAAUAAAAGUGUUUUAUUCUCUUGUAAUUGUAAGUCUCACUUAAGCCUUAACCACUUAGUGCACUUAGGUUAGCUUCUAUAUAUGGUCAGCUCUGCCAUCUAAAUAAUAUAUAGUCGGCCCUGUCACUUGAGUAUUAUAGUGCACUAAGAAGUUAGAAAAUAAAAGGUUAACCGACUUUAAAGAGUUGGUGUAACAUUACUUGUACGUCCUAGGUCCUUUGUAGUGGGUGUGUUGGUCUCAUCGAGUUCUCACCAUGUUUAAAGGUUGAAAUGCUUGCCUGCAAUCGAAUAUUUCUUUAGUUCUUCGAGUAGAGCAUAGCAUUGGUGAAUCAUGCAAGCAUCCAUCUUUUGCCUCUUUUUGCUCGGACCGCCGGUGGCCACCCCUUUUCUGUAGGCAACAACAUUAUUUAAAUCACUUGGACGGUUACAUUUACACUUAAUGCACCCAUAUGAACUGCAUUUUUCGGCACCUCCACAGGUCAACGACAGACUGGAAUUGAUGUUGUAGAUUGAUCGCUAAGUCCCCCACUUCCACUUUUACUGAUCAUGCCAUUCCUUAAGUUGUUUCUUGCCAACUUUUUCACACGGUUCUAUUUUAGUUUAAGAAGCCUGAUUUUUAAUGCAUACAUGGUCAGUUUCGACUUUGGUUUAGGUGUUAGAAUAAUAAAUUAAGAUAUGAUAUAAAACUUAAGAAAUCAUAAAUCAUGAUUUGUCAUGUCAAAUCAUCAAGAUCAAAACAAGAAUAAAACUAGAUGCGGAAGCGUACCUGAAUCCAUGAAUUCCUUAAAGUUUUUUUCCAGAUCUUGGGGAUUUGAUCUUCCAAAUUAGCACACAAGAAAUUUAUAGAAUAUUUGCUCUCUCUUUCCUAAGGAUGGGAUAUUAGAAAAGUUAUCUUGUGUGUUAUUUAGGGACCAUAAGCCUAAUAUAUAUAUAACUUUGACAUAUUAGCCCUAAUUCCUAAUUAGCCCAUCAUUAAUUAGAAAUUAGUUACUAGAGUAUCUACACAUAUUUGACCAAUACUUUAUUUAAUAAUUAAAGCCAAUAAACCUUAACCAAAUUAGACCACUUUUAAUUUGGGCUAACCUAUCAUGAUAGUAAAUAAUAACAUGUAAUUACCCUUAUUAUAUAUGUGGUGUCCAUAUUUUCCAACAUUAGGAACCCUUGUGACAGCCCUAAUUUGACCCUAGUUGGAAAGUGAUUUCAGGACCACAAAACCGAGUCACAAAAAUAAUUAAUUGUAUAUUAUAUGUCUAUUAUAUGUGAAAUUGCAUGUGUGAAAAUUUCAUGCUUUGAUUUUGUCAUUUGGAUAUGGAAUUGUUAAAAAGGACUUGUGUGAUAAAACUUAAAAAUGUGAUAGGUAGAAUUUAGAGGGCCGAUUAAUGCAUGGUAUAUUACAAGGAGGACUUGCAUAAUUAAAUGGACCACUAUUAAAUUAGUGGACGGCAAUGAUGAUAGAUGAUAAGUAAUAUAUGUAUUUUGUAUUAGUAAAAUAAUAACUUAAUGGAUAUUAUAUGCAUUCCAUAUUAGUAUUAUAAUAUUUAAUGAUUUUAUAAGAGGAUAUAUAUAAAUUAAUAAAAGUAAAUAGGUGAUGAAAACAAAGUUUUCAUCCAUUCUUUCUUUCAUUUGCCGAAAUCUAAAGAACAAGGUAAAACAAAAGGCUCUUUGAUAUUCUGCCUUGGUGAAUCUAAUUGGAGGUAUGUUUGAUCUUAUUUCUUGAUAAUUUAUGUGAAAUUGAGUUAAUUGUUAAGCCCCUUUCAUAGCCUAUGACUCAAUUUUUGUUAUUGGUUUGAAGUGAUGCAUUCGGCUAUGGGUUGUUUGAGUGUCUUUGAAGGUGUUUGAUGUUUUUGGUAUUAAAUGUGAUGAUAGAUGAGUUGAGCUUAAUGAAUAAGGAUAGUUGUGGUUAGAUAGAUAGAUGGUGAUCGGCUAUUAGAGUAUAAUGCAAGAAUUGUACAUGGUAGUUUAAAAUAAGGCUUGAAUGGGAGAUAUAAUUGCCGAAUGAUCAAAUAGUUAAUGAAUUAAAUAAGUGUUUAAAAUGUUAUUCGGGUAUUGGUGUUAAGUUGUAAAAAUUCUUGUUAAUUGUUGGAAGUAUGUGUUUAUUUGUUAAAUUAGCUUAUUCCAUGGUCGAAUGUAAUAUUUGGUUAAAGAAUGGUUUAAUUGAAUAAAUAAAAGAUGAGAGCAUUCGGUGAUGGUGUUAUGUGCUAGCAUGAUAUGUAUGUGUGGUUUAGGUGAAAAAUGUUUAAAUGCUAAUUUUGUUUGAAUAAUUACCGAAUGACAUUUUGGUGAAUGAAAUGAGUGAUUGUUUGCAAAGUGAGAUUAUUGAAAGUUUGAAUUAGAUGAUUCAUAGUAAUCGGCUAAUGUGUUUAUGUGGAUAUAGAUGCCGAAUGUGGACUUAAGAAAUUAAUUGGAAAAUUUGUUGUUUAUUUAGGUGAUAGAAAGUAUGAAAUGGUCUUAUGUGAUACGUGUAUAUAAGUAGAUGGAAAUGAGGUGUCGUAUAUUUUUUGUGUAUGGGAUUAAUUGCACUUUGAUUAUAAUGUGCAUGAUUAUUACUAUGUUUAAUAUGUGUGAAAGCAGAAUAUACUCAUGAUACAAUGCUUGAUUAGUUGAUUAACAAUAAGUUAAAUUUGUUUAAUUCAAGCUCAAGAGCAUAAGGAGCCAAUUCUGGAUAAAGGGAAAGCGAAACUAGUCGAUUAGUCAAUCCAUAGUUAUUCGAUAAAAUCCAAGGUAAGUUUUAAGUGUUUAAACAUAAGUAUUAGUGAAUGUGUUAUGCUUUAUCUUAAUAAUUAAAUGUCUUGUAUUAUAUAUGCGCAUUGCCGAAUGCUACAUGCACAUGGGAUGAAAGAUGUGUAGUUGAUAUGUGUACAUUAUCAAAUGGUAAGCAUGAUAUAAAAAAAAUGCUAUGUCAUUUGUACUUAUGUGGCCGAAUGGCUAAAAUAAUACAUGGAGGUAAGUUUGUGAUAUGUUUUUAUGAUCAAAUGGUAAGUGUGAAAUGAAUGUGAGUGAGAUGAUUAUGUUAUAUGAAACUUGUUGAUUUGAUUAUCGUACGGUACUAUUCGGGCCUUCGAGCCUAGCAGGCUAUAAUGUCGGUGAGAUAAUAUCGGGCUUCGGGCCUAACAGGCUAUAAUGCCGGUGAGAUAAUAUCGGGCUUCGGGCCUAACAGGUUAUAAUGCCGGUGAGAUAAUAUCGGGCUUCGGGCCUAGCAGACGAAAUGCAGGUGAAUGAGUUCAGACUUAAAGUCUAGCAGGCUUCGUGCCGGUGAUGAAUUCGGGUUUAAAACCUAGCAGGCUUAAUGCUGGUGAUUUGAUAAAAGUCUAAGACUAUGAUACUUCAUGUUAGAACGACAAUUGAAUACAUUCAAUAUAUUAAGUUGGCCAAGUACGUAUCAUGUACUUUUAUAUGAGUUUGAUUUGACUUGAAUCAUAAGUGUAUAAUGUGAUGCAUAUGUGAAUAAGUGUUAUGACUAUAUCUAUGAUCAUGAUACAUUCGGCCAAAGUGUGAAGUUAUGUGAAAAUAUUUGAUUUACUUAUGUUUUAUGAAUUCAGAUUCAAGUGAAGUUAAUAUGCUAAAUAUGCGUUAAAUGUUUGUAUAUAUUCGACCAAAUGGCAAUAUACCUAAGGAAUGUCACUUAAGAAUUUGAUUAAUCGAUUUAUAAUUGAAUUUAAUUAUUUGCAUUGCUUAAAACUUACUAAGCUUAUGGAAGCUUACUCCGUUUGUUAUGUUUCUUUAUUUUAUAGAUCGUUGACUCCAGCCACUUGUUCGGGGAUCGUCAGCAACUCGUCACACUAUCUAUCGUUUUGGUACUAUUAUGUUUUAGAUCUAAUAUGGCAUGUAUAGAAUAGACUAUAGAUGAAUAAUAUUUUGGAGUUGUAUAUGAGCCAUGCGAAUAUGACAUCUUUUGAAUGUUUGUAUAAAGUUUAUGAAUGCAUAUAAAAGUUAAUAUUCUUAUAUCUAUGUGAUUGUACAAAUGUAGUAUUUUGGGUUAGUAGCACUUCAUAACCCAUUCCGGCGACGGAUACAGGUUAUAAGGGUGUUACAACCCUAAUAUUCAAUGCAGUCAUUAGUUAUUGAUCUCGGGGAUUUCCCUUCAAAGUUUUCCUUCUUUCCCCCAAAACUUCCACUCACUUCAUCUGCCAUUGUAAUAACAUUAGUUAAAAGAUAAUAUAUAUAUAUAUAACAUCAUAUUAUUAAAUCCUAAAUUGAAUUUAUUAGAAUUCGAAAAUGGGGUUCCUAACUCUAGUGAAAGUAUAAUAAGGGAAAUGCUAUGAUCAUCAUAACUUUCUUGCAAAUGGGGGUGUUUCCAGUUCUUCAAUUAAGCUAAAUGACUGCUUAUUUAUGAUGCAAGGCUCUUCCAUCUUUCGCCGCCUUUCCACCGGACCCUCGACGGCCACCACUUCUUAUGGUGGUUUCCGUUUCGGCAACCUGAUGAAGACUUUUGUUUUGGUUUUACAAGAGAAGACAUUUUCAUAACCUUAAAUUUUCAGAGAGUGAUUAUGGAACAAUAAGUUGGAGAUAUUGUGACUGGCGGCAAUUUAUAUUAAUCUCUUACUUUGACUUUCAAGGGUAAUUUUUUUAUUUUUCAUUUUUCUUUUAAGUUUUGAAUUACAAUAAAUGUUCUAAGUCAUAUAUAUAUUUAUCUUAAUCAAUUUAAAGCUUUAAAAGUUUAUUUUUUUAUAUUUUUCAUUUUAAUAAUUAGAAUAUUUGUGAAUGUUAAUAUUUUUUUUAAGUUUAGAUUUAGAUAAUAUUUAAAUUCGAGUAUUAUAAUUAUUAUAUUUAGGGGGUAAUAAUUAAUAUUUGGAUAUUUGAAUUUAUAAUUCAUUUUAUUUUUAAAAUAUUAUAUUUUAAUAAAUAUUUUAUUUCAUUAUAAUUUGUAAUAGUCAAAUAGUUUAGUUUUUUUCUUUUUCUGGUUUAGAUUUAAGAAAAGCAAAUCAAAGUUUAUUAUACAUAUACAGAUUAAUUGCUAUUAUCUAUAAACAAUAUAUAAAGGUAAUUACAAUGAAAUAUCUUGAGUUUUUUUUAACAUUUUAAGUUAAUUUUUAAAUUUUAUUUCCCAACUUUCUAUUUUUUUCAAUUAUAUAACAAUCAUAAAAUUUUUGUGAUUAAAUUUUACUAUUAAUUUUCGUAUUUUACGAAUAUUGUAGAUUUAGUCAUUUUACUUUAAUUUGGUCAUUUUUAAUUUUUGUACUUUUUAAAUUUUAAAAUUUUAGUCAUCAUCAAAAACUAUUAAAUUCAUUCAAUUACUAUAUAUGUAAUGUCACGUCAGCUUGUUAUUUUCACAUAUUAUUAACUAAAAAAAAGUUAAUGGAUUAACUGUGAUAAUUUGCAUCAAAACUAAAAUUUCAAAAUUUAAAAAAAUAAGGACUUAAAAUGAUCAAAUUAGAGAAUAUGAACUAAAUAUAUAAUUUUACACAUAGUACAUGACUAGUAAUUGAAUUUAACUAAACAAAUUUAACCGCUAAUGUUUAGGUUAGGACUAAAAUUGACUAAUUCUAAAAGUAUAAGGACUAAAAUUUAUCAAAUUACAAUGUAAGGACUAAAUCUACAACUUUCACAAAAAUACAAGGACUAAUAAUAUUAUUUAUCAAUUUUAAUUUUCAUCCCUAUAUUAUACUCAAAAUUUAAUCUUUAUACUUAUUUUUUUUUAUAUAACAAGCACUUUAUUUUCUAUACUUAUUUUUUUUAUAUAACAAGCACUUUAUUUUUUAUAUAAUUUAUUACCUAAAGUCUUUCUUAUGUCUAUUAGUUAAAUAUUCGGUUUAUGUAAACACAAUAUUGAAUAUAAAUAUUAGAAUUCGUUAACUCAAUUUAAUUUGACUCGAAAUUUUUUUAUUCACUAUUCGAUUUGAUUCGACUCGAUAAAGUAUUUAUAUAAUAGGGAUAUGACCUAUAACCUACUCUUGUUGAUGUUAUAGUAAUUGAGAUACAUUUCCUUUUACCAAUCGAAUUUAAAUAUAAAAGUCAACAUUUUGAAUAAUAAGUAAUCGAACAACCCAAAAUUGUGGAAUAAUGAUGACGAUGAAGAUCAUCGUGGUAAUAAUAAUUGGUAGAAAGGGACAUUUUGGUAAAUUCAGAUAGAAUAUUCCAAAAUCAUAAUCAUCAUCGGACCGCUUCCCAACGCCAUCACCUCCCAACUAUUCUCUCAUUCUCUCAUUCAUCUUUCCUCCACCUUCCGCAAUGUCCGCAACCGCCGCUCGCCUCCGCCGCGUCGCCGCCGUUGCUACAGCGGCAGUAGCUGUUACUGCCUGCGGUGGCUCUGUUCUCUUACCUCCGUCUGUUUCUUCCAAUGACCGUGGCGUUGGCCCCGUCGUAGAGUCCACGAGGCGGACGAUCAGUGAUCCAAACGCCAUUGUUCCUUCCAGAAGUGUCCAAGAAUCGACUCUGAUCGGUGCCAGCUCGACUAGUCCACUCGACAUCCUGGUCGUAGGAGGCGGUGCCACCGGCUGCGGCGUUGCUCUGGACGCUGCCACUAGAGGCCUCCGUGUCGGCCUUGUUGAGCGAGAGGAUUUCUCUUCCGGAACGUCUUCUCGGUCUACGAAGCUAAUUCAUGGAGGUAAGCAUAUAUGGUUAAUUUGUCUGUUUGAUAUAUAUUUUCACUGUUUUAAUGGAAACGUAAGUUAAUUAAAUUUAAAAAAAGUGAAAGAACUUCAAGUUGAUUUGCGUGAUUAUAUAUGCAUUUUCUUGGCUACUUGUUUGAUUGCUGAUUUUAACAUUAGAAGGGGCUAAAUUCAAAUAAUGAGUGCAUUGAUUCGAAAUUUUAGAAAGAGAAAAGGCUAAAAUUUUAGGAACUUGCUCCAUGAGAAGAAGAUAUUAAGGUCUUUGCUGCUUUGGGAUCUAGCAAUAUAGCUCUUGACUUUUUAAUUUUUAUUUUUUACUUAGAUAGCAAAGAGUUAAACACAUAAGGACAUCAAAUAAUCCUUAUAAAAUUUUAUAUCCAAUAUUUUGGUAUCAUAUAUUAUUUCCGAAAAGUAUUGCAUCAUUGUAUUAAUUUGUUAAUACACGGGUUUUCUUUGGAAUUUUGAAGUGGUUUCUGCAGCUUGUCUUUUGAUUAAGGUUAAAAGUUUCAAGUCUGGAAAAUCUUUGUUGUGAAUCAUAUAAAGUGUUUGACGGAUAGCAAUUGAUGCUACAAUUUUAGUUGCCGCCUUUUGGCCGAACAAAACUAAAUUGUAUUCCUUAAAAUAGGUAUAUGAAGCUAAUUCCAAUUCUUCUUCAUAUGCUUGUUUCAGCUUUUAAGCUAAUGCAUUUGUUAAAUUCGGUUAGGGGUCCGAUACUUGGAGAAAGCUGUCUUUAACCUUGACUACGGGCAAUUGAAGCUGGUUUUCCAUGCACUUGAGGAGCGUAAACAGGUUAUUGAGAAUGCGCCUCAUCUCUGCCAUGCCUUGCCAUGCAUGACACCUUGUUUUAACUGGUUUGAGGUAGUAUACUACUGGAUGGGCUUGAAAAUGUACGAUUUGGUCGCAGGACGCCAUAUAUUACAUUUGUCCAGAUAUUAUUCAGUGCAAGAAUCUAUUGAGCUCUUCCCUACUCUUGCAAGAAAGGGUAAAGAUAAAAGCUUGAGGGGCACAGUUGUGUACUAUGAUGGGCAGAUGAAUGACUCUCGCCUAAAUGUUGGAUUAGCUUGCAGUGCUGCACUUGCUGGAGCAGCAGUGCUUAACCAUGCAGAAGUUGUAUCAUUUCUUAAAGAUGAAGGUACCGAGCGGAUAAUUGGUGCAAGAAUUCGUGACAAGCUGUCAGGUACAGCGUGCAUCUCCUUUGAACAAUAAAAUAUUCAUACAAAUCAUUAACCGAUUUGAGCAUAUGACAAUUUACAUGUCUGUCUUGAUUAGUCUGUUUUCUAGGUCUUCAUCAAAUACCUCAAGUUUGCAAUGAAAGAAAAAAAAGUCCAAAGGGCUAUAAAAUUUAAUAAUUACUUGUUAAUAAUCCUGUAAGCAGUUGAUUUCUAAAUGCAGAAAGCCAUAACACUUUCUGUUGUUCUCAGACUUGACCCUGUCUUUCAGUGAUAGCAACAGAUUCACACGCAUUUUAGUUUUAUUUUUUGACAUUCACAGGUACCUUAUGUCUUGAACCUAACAAUUAAUUUCUGUCCAAGCAGCUGAUUGUGAUAUUGUAGUUGACUUGCUCUAAUUAGUUAUGACUCGAAUACAUGAUUUAGCUUUCCCUUAUGGGAUAUUGAAUUUUGAAAUAUACCAAAAUUAAGAUAGAAAAUUGUAUAGUUUGAGUGUUUAGGUUAUCCUAAUUUCUUAGAAUUGACAACAGGGAUGCUACAGAGGAGAAAUGCUUGAGAAUGAAAGUUUUCAUCGAACUUGAAAGCUUUCCAUCCAAAUUAUAUGGAGUGCUUAAUUUCUUGUUUGUAACUGAACGUUAAUAAUAUUAAAAUCUUAAAAAUGCAAGAUGCUACUGUUCUAUGGUUGGAAUUAGUAAGCAUUUUUCUUCCAGUUUACACCAUUUGUUAUUUGACUUUUACAUUCCAAAAUAAUUGAUUUCCUAGUCAAUUUAUCUUUUCAUUUUGGCUAAUCUCAUGUACUGUAAGGUUAAAGAAGUGUUAAGUAAUUCUUGAUAUUUUUAUUAAGAUGAUGAGAAGAAUAAAACAUUUGUUCGUAUGUAGGGAAAACGAUUUUGCAUGGAUAUGCGCCAAAACAUGUUUGCAACAAGACUUGCACAUUAAAAAUUUCUUUCUUCAGCAUAUCGCUGCAUACCAAUAUUGGUGUAAUUAGGUAGCUUAAGUGGUGAUCUGUUUGAUCUUUUUGUUCAUUACUAUAUAAACAGGCCAAGAAUUUGAAACCUAUGCAAAAGUUGUUGUGAAUGCGGCUGGACCAUUUUGUGACUCUGUAAGGAAAAUGGCUAACAAGGAUGCACAGGCCAUGAUUUGUCCUAGCAGUGGUGUACAUGUUGUUCUCCCUGAUUAUUAUUCACCUGAAGGAAUGGGUUUGAUUGUCCCUAAAACUAAGGAUGGACGUGUCGUCUUCAUGCUUCCAUGGUUGGGGAGAACUGUAGCUGGCACUACAGAUUCUAAUACUUCCAUCACUGCACUUCCAGAACCACAUGAGGAUGAAAUACAAUUUAUACUUGAUGCUAUAUGUGAUUAUCUUAACGUCAAGGUAUAAUCUGGAUUUGUCAAUCUUUGAUAUGUUACUUUGUCCUUCAAGUUUAUUUCUAAUUCUGUCUCAUUUUUGGGUAUAUGUUUAGUCUAGUUUUCAACUAAAAUUAUGACUUAAAACUCUUAGGUACGACGCACAGAUGUUCUUUCUGCUUGGAGUGGUAUUCGUCCAUUGGCAAUGGAUCCUACUGCAAAGAACACUGAGAGCAUCUCUCGAGAUCAUGUUGUUUGUGAGGAUUAUCCUGGUUUGGUCACAAUAACUGGUGGAAAGUGGACUACUUAUCGAAGGUAAUAUUUACUUUGGUUUUGGUAAAUUUUCCUUUUAUAUUGGUGGUUUACAGUAGAUCUGACAAUAUUAGACACAACACGAAGACAAGAUGGAUAAAUACCCAAAACACGACACGACGAAAGAAAAACAUCACGGGCAAGACAAGAUACAUGAAUCUAUUAAUAUUUAUAUAGUACAAAUUAUUAAUGUAUCAAAUUUUAUAUAAAUAUAAAAUACCUUAAAUACAAUUAUGAAUGGUAAAAUACUCGAGAAUGAUGCAGAUACACAAAUAGUUAGGUCUAGUUUACAGUAGUUCAUCAAGGCCGAAUUUAUUUUUAUUGAUAACUAAUGUUGGAGAAUUUGGAGGGUAAACUGUUGAACUACAAAUUAAUUGAUGGGCAUACUCUGUAUUCCCUUGAUAUUCGAGCACGGCAUCUUGUUCGUUUGAUCUCCUUUCUUUCCUUGUUUUCUUUUCGGUACGAACUUUCAAACUUACUAGAAUUAUUUUCAGCAUGGCAGAAGAUGCGGUUAAUGCAGCUAUCAAGUCCGGUAAGCUAAGCCCUAGGAAUGAAUGUAUAACAGGCAACCUACGGCUGGUCGGAGGAGAUGGAUGGGAAAGCUCAUCUUUUACUGUUCUUGCUCAGCAGUACGUACGCAUGAAGAAGACACAUGGUGGGAAAGUUGUUCCAGGAGUAAUGGACACAGCUAGCGCAAAGCAUUUGUCUCAUGCCUAUGGAACCUUAGCGGAACGAGUAGCCACCAUAGCUCAGGUUGGUUUGCUAUGCUCUCACAAGUCAUAAGUGUUAAUUAUUUGGCUCAGUAGUUGAUCUGUGAUCAUCUUCUCAAAUCCCAGAGUUUGAAUCCAUCCUCCCCAAAAUAAAACCUCUAUCGAUCUAACAUAGAGUGGUUUGGGAACAAUCAAAUAUGGCGAAGUUUAUCUUCUUUGUAUUCGAUUUAACAAUUUCAAAUCUGCCUUUGAAUUUCUAGAAUGAAACGCUGGGUAAGAGGCUUGCCCAUGGUUACCCAUAUCUGGAGGCCGAGGUUGCAUACUGUGCUCGAAACGAGUACUGUGAAUCUGCUAUUGAUUUCAUCGCCAGGAGAUCUCGCCUUGCUUUCCUUGACACCGAUGCAGCAGGCCGUGCAUUGCCACGAAUUAUCAAAAUACUUGCUAAGGAGCACAAUUGGGACCGGUCGAGGCAGAAGCAAGAAAUGCAGAAGGCUAGAGAAUUUUUGGAAACUUUCAAGUCUUCAAAGAAUGCACAGUUCCAUGACGGGAAACACCAGUAGUGGCUAGUGAGUAUGAUUUCCUAUCCUGUUAACGCGCGCAAAUACUUCUAAAAGUUUCUUAUACCAAAUUAACUAUAUGUUGCAGUUAACUUUGCUUUUAGGGUUUUCGACAUCGAUGAAACAGAAUUUUGAACCUCAAAAUGUUGGGUUUCCAAUGUUCAUACGGGUAUGUAUAUCAUCUUCAUUCUACUGCACAAGCGGAAUGUCAUAGCAUGAACAUACUUCGAAGGCACUCGGUUUUAUUGAUCUUGCUUUACAUUUAAUAAGUAAUAACGCAGCUUUUUCCUUAAUUAAUACAAGUGUUUAUUGUAUGACGUGAUUUGUUUAUUAUAUACUUAUUAGUUUUUUUUAAUAUUAAUCUCAUUAUAAAUUUUUAUAAUAUCUGUUUUUUUUUAAAUAAUGCCUAGAAUUACUCAUAUUAUUUUCUCAACUCUUAAAUAAUAGGAUAAUGUGUUUCAUGAUAAUACUUAAUAAAAUUAAAAUAUAAUAAAAAUUACUAUCAUAAGAAGUUUCACCUUAAUUGUUUUGAUUUUCCAUUUUAUACAUCGCAUAGGAAUGAUUUGUUCAGUGGCAGAUUUAUUUUUCUUAAAAGGGUUUAUACUUAUAAGUAUUAUAGUAACUAUAAUUAUGAAUAAUAUGUUCUAAUAAUUACAAUAAAAUUUUAAUAUGAUCAAAUUAAUAAUUGAAAUAUAUAAAUUUUGUAAUAAAUUUAUUAAACGGCCAGAUGAGUGUACGAAUUUUUAAUUUUUUAAAAUUUCGAUUGUCACAUUUCAAUCUUUUUAAGUGCUAUUUUCCAUUAUUAAUUAAUAAUAAAACAUAUUAUUUUAUUUAAAUUUAAUUAUAAUAUGUAUUAUCAAAUCUAUUUGAAUGGGUUUAAUUCAAGUUUAAUUUAGGGUUUAUUAAUAAAUUAUCUUUCCAACUAUAUAUCAAUUUUCAUAUCGACUUUUAAAGUUUUUUUAUUUAUAAUAAAUGGUAUGUAAAUCAUUGGUUUUGUUUCAAUUUAUAAAAGAAGAAAACAAUACGAUCCAAUAAAAAUGUGUGACAUACGGCAUGUUUGCACAUUGCAUAAAUUCUUAUAUAUUUUGUUUAUUUGAUUCUUAUUUUUUUAAAAUUAAAUUUAAUAAAUAAUCUUUCAAAAAGGUGAAAUUGCUUUUCUUUAAACAAUUAUUGAAACUUUAAUUUUUUAACUAUGUUAACCUGAUAUUAUUUUUUAUAUGUGCAUCAAAAAAAUAAUUUAAAAAAAUAAUAAAAAUGUUUAAAAAUUUUUAAAAAUUAAAAAGAAUUAUAAGAAAAUUUACAAAAAAAAUUUUAAAAAAAGCAUAAAGUAUAUAUGGAUUAUCAUGCAAGUUGUUUUGUUGAAAACUUUAAGGUUUUAGUUAAUAUUUUUAUUAAGAAACAAUAAUUCUACUUUUUAUGAAAGGUUGAUGGCUCUAAAUUUGACUCUUUCUGAAAAAUUGAGAGUCAAAUUUAGCCAAAAGAAAGAAUAAAGGCCAAAUAAAUAAAAAUGUAAAUGUUAAGAGUUAAAUUUGGCAUUAUACUUAUUUUAUAAAGAUAAAAUUUAUACUUGUUAUAUUCCUCCACCAAGCAAACACGUGUCAACACUAGAACCAUCGUUGACCUAUAUUAACUUCCUCUAAAAGAGCAUCCCGACAGACCUCUCAUUCACAAUACCCUUGAAUGUGACCACCCACUCUACCUCAAAAGAGUCCUCCACCCGAGCUUAAGUGUGGAUAUUAUCCUAAUGUGGACACACUUCCAAGGAAAUAAGGAACCUAUUUAAGGUAAGCUACCUUGUAUUGAUA